RNAcentral lists this long non-coding RNA (47616 nucleotides) under Coffea arabica (coffee). Its description in RNAcentral is "long non-coding RNA (CARA_LNC000792)". The stretch from base 4054 to 4138 matches the Rfam family "tRNA". Lineage: Eukaryota; Viridiplantae; Streptophyta; Magnoliopsida; Gentianales; Rubiaceae. The record is from RNAcentral.
CUUUAAAUUGAGGUAAGUUCUUUGGUUUGUCUUCUUCGAUUGUAGUUUUUUUUUCUGAUGAUUGAUUUAUUCAAAAACUCCAUAUAGUUUGCCUUUUGAUACUUCUAAUUCAAAAAACUGACUAAUUGUAUUGUUUUUCUUAGUAGAUUCCAGAGAUUCUGUCUCUGGUCAAAGUACAAUUUGAGAUAAUGUUGUCACUUUCUAAAAUAAUCAGAAAAGCAAUUUUAUCGUCUUUUCCUCAUCAACCAAUGUAUUAUCUCUUUAUUUAAGUCAAAUAACCUUAUUUCUCAUGAACUUUUUAUAUUAUUCUUGACUCUAGGGAUCUGUUGACUAUAUUCCAGCAGUUAUGGUUCAAGUAGUUAUUUUUUCAUGUAAUAUGAUUUGAUAUUCAACUUGUGUUUAUUUUAAUUGAGAAUUUUAUGAUUGUAAAAUUUAUUAACUUAGAAUUUUGUACUUCAUUGAAACUAAAAAAGAAAAUUAAUCAUGCUACAUAGUACUAAGAUGUCAUUUGCACUUUAUUUGCUUUCCAUGUUAUGAUAUUGUUCUUGUAUUAUACUGUUUAUAUAGUUUCAAAUACAAAAAAAUUACUUUUUUAUACCAUGUAAAAGAAUUUGUAAUGGAACUUGAUUAGUUUAAAUGCUUUAACUACAGCACCAUUUUGAUUGCAUUGUAUUAAUUCAUUUACUCAUAAUUAUAUGUUGUACAAUGAUAAAUAAUGUUUCUUGAUUUGAUUGAAGCAACUAUUAUCCAUAGUUCAAACGAGUCAAUUAAGUAGAGAUGUUAUAUUGGAUACUUAUACAAGUAAAUAUUGAAAAAUAUCAUUAAACAGUUUCUACCUAUAAUUUGCAAUUCGAAUUCAUAUGAAGAAUUUCUUCUGAUUUUACUUACCAUUUUCUACAAUUUCAAAUUUAGAGAAUAUUAUUUGCACCAAUUUUUUAUAAUCAAGAUAGUUUCAAUUCAGAUCUUUAACAAUUAUGCAGAUUUGAACUUAUUUAUGAGAUUAUAAAAAAAAUAUCCCUAGCAAAAAACAUCAAAUCUGAAUAGUUUCUACAAAAUUUUGAAAAAUACCACUUAAGUUUCUUAACUAUCUAUCAUUUUUUGAUAGUGUUAUCUCUGUAAGAAACAUAUGAUUAAGUCGUAUUAUACCCACCAAAUUAUAUAAAUAGUUAAUAAAAAAUAAAAUUAUUUUAGAUUAGAUUGGACGCAAAGUAACUGAUGGAUAAACUUGACUUAAUAAUUCAGAUUGAGCUUAAGUCGAGGGAGAAAUCAGAAGCAUUGCUUGAGGGAUCUUUUACGAAUAUAUAUAGAUUCGAGAGAUGAAGGGUCCAAUUGAUACUUUAAAAUAUUUUAUCAUCUUGGAUAAGUUUUAAAAGAGACAUUUGGAUACUUUUCAAUUGCAUUUCAAACAUUUUUACAUUUUCAAACUAUAUUUAUCUUUGCAGUUGAAAUUCAAACAUAACCUUUGAUCACAACGGAUUCUUAUAUAGUAUAACGAUAAGAAUUUUUAUUGCACAUUAUUUUUAUUGACUCACUAUGUAACUUAUCAUUUUUCUAUUAAAAUCACACGAUAAAAUCAUCAUACUCCAGUUCCAAUACUACAAAAUAUUAAACAAUAAUUAUUAAUUAUCUUGAAUCACAAGCACCAAAUUCCCACACGUCGCGCGGGCUGUCCCUCCCUAGUCAUAUUACAAUAACGUGCUACAGUAAUUCAAAUGGACUCUUAUUACGUUUUUUCUUUUUUUUUUUUACUGAUUUUGACCAUCAAAUUGAAUUGUUAGGCUGCUUUCAGUAUCGAGGGAUAUGAGUUGAGCGAAUGAUUUUCCUAAAAGAACCAUUAAAUUUUCUAAGUUUAUACGGAUUUUUCUAAGCCCUCCAACUUGAAUAAGGUCUGUAUGAUUACUAUGAUCUAUUGUAUGGUGAGGUUAAUAAUUGAGAUUGCACCUAUUUAUAUUUCGAAUUAUUCUUCGUAGAUGUAAUCAAGAGAGCAUAUGCCCCACGAUUAUUUAGUCUACAAAUUUAAAAUUCGUUCAAUGGCCAAGUUGAGCACGAUUAAGUUCAAGCGUGCGUCAAAUUUUUUUUUCUUUUAAUAACUUUGAAUACUAAGUCCUGUUUAAUAAUUCAAUUCAGUACUUAAAUUUAAUUGAUUCAGAUCUUAAUAUAUUCAUAUUAUUUGAUAACAAAAAAUUGAACAUCUAAAUUAAUUGAGUGGUACUAAAUUUUCUAGACAAGAUCUAAUCAAAAAAUUAAGUGAUAAACUAUUCACUUAUCACUGAAUAUGAUAUGUAUUUGAAUAUAUUAGAUUUAUGAUGCGUUUGAUAAAACUAAAAUCUGAAAAAUGAAAUCUAAAGUCCGAAAUCGGAAGUUUAAAUCUAUUAAAUUAUUGAAUUGUUAAGUGACAAGUGAAUAACCCAUCACUUAGACCCUAUUUGGCAAAUGAGUUUUUUAAAUAUUUGUUUAAAACUUUAAUGUAACAUACUGCAAAAAAUGGUAGAAAUUUUUUUUUGAAAUGUAUAAAUUUUUUGAUAUUUUUAAAUAUAUAAUUUAAAAUUUUGAAAAUUUUUUUGAGCUUACUGUAGUCAAAGUUGUUAAAAAACUUAUAAUAUACAAAAUUGACCAAAAACUUGUUUGUCAAACAGACUCUUAAUUUUGGGAGUAAGUUUUACCUAGAAAAUUGAGUGUCAUUUAAUUAAUUCAUAUGUUCAAUUUUUUGUUAUCAAACGGUCUGAAUAUGUUAAGAUUUGAUUCUAUUAAGUUUAAAUGCUGAAUUAUGGUAUCAGAUAAGGCCUUAAUACUUAAUAAUUCAAUAAUUUAACGAAUUCAUGAUUCAAUUUUAUCAAAUGCAUUUUAAGUUUUAAUUUGGCUUCAUUGUUAUAUUAAGUCCAACAGAAAAUGAGUUUUUUGUCCAUAAAACCUUGCGUCUCAAAGUAAUUUGUUAAAUUUUCCAUGGCGUUAUCCAGUGCAAUGUUUUAUUGGGCCAAAUUGAGUCCAACAUUUGAAGGAAAAAAACAGACGGGCACGCGCUAAUUUUGUUUUAAUGUUAGAUUUGUCUUGAACUAGGUAAACCCAAAUGAGCCCUUUCUUUGAGAAAGUAUUAGAAGUUCAAUUGAACUUUUAACACUUUGUUAUCCAUUAUGUGCGGACAAGUUUAAAAGAAAACCAAUAAAAAAAAGAUGUAACAUACAUUUGGAAUGGGAUAAAAAGUGAUGUUAUUUGCACUUUUAUUAGGUUAUUUGUACUCCCAUUAUCUCAUUUUUAUUUCGAUGAGACCAUAUUAGCGUUCAUCUAAUUUCUUUUUCUUACCUACGAGUUAACUUUAUCAUCUAAUUAGGGUAGGAGAAAAAAUUAUAAUAUGAGCAACAUGAUCUCAUCAAAAUAGAAAUGGAGGUAGUGUGAGAGUAAAUAACAUAAUCCUAACUCGUUUAUCCAAAACUUUUUGUUUCCUACUAUUUUUUAUCCAAAUUUUUUGUUUCCUUUUUUUAUCUUAACUUGUUUAUCCAAAACUUUUUGUUUCCUACUAUUUUUUAUCCAAAAUCUUUGUUUCCUUUUUUAUCUCGGAUGAUGUUAUUUACACUUCUAUUAUAUGUUAUGUUAUUUUAUAUGAUUUUAUCAUAUAACCCCACGAAUACGCUUUAUGCCGAACUCUGAGUUUUAGAAGUUUGAGAUAUUGAAACCUCCGAUGGCUCCUAACUAAGGUGUUAUAGCACUUAAUGGAAGUGUUUAAAGGUUCUCAGUAUUUCUUCUUGUUUGAUUGUCUCUCACACAAUUUUAGAUUGAUUUUAAAUGAUCAGUUUUUUUUUUUUUAAAUUUGCUUAUUUGGAUUUCCAUAUAAUAAGGUUAAGGCAUCAGAAUUUAGAGGUUUAGAUUCUAAUCCCUAUUCUCCUUCCAUUUUUUAAAUCACACCCUUUCCUUGCUAAAAUAAAUAAAUAAAUAAAAUGAACUUUUUACAUAUAAAUUUUAGAUUAUUUAAUAAACAAAAAAAGAUACAGUGGGCGGUUGUUUGGGCCUUGUUGACAUUAUAUAUUUAUAUUGAAAACUGGUGGACGAAAAACAACUGGGGUGGUGGCGCAGUUGGCUAGCGCGUAGGUCUCAUAGCUUCUGAGUAAUCCUGAGGUCGAGAGUUCGAGCCUCUCUCACCCCAACAAUUUUUGGCAAUCGAAAAGUCCUAGCAUCUGCUAUCGUUUCCGGAAAAAAAAAAAAAGAAAAGUCCUAGCGCCUCUAUAACUUCAGUACAGAUACAGCGAAAAUCGUUGACUGUCGUCGUACUCUCUAAUUCCCCGCAUCGGGCCGCUACAUAUUUUCGUGCUGUAUACCUUUCUCCAGAAACCCUAAUCAGAAAAACCAUCGCCACCUCCAUAUCGUAAAACCCUUGCGGUAUUUCCAAUCGUUUUAACAAUCAAUCAUGGUGAAGAAGAGCAAGAGUAUGAUAUCCAAUUAUAAUCCCUCUUUCUUUUUGGAAUGUCUGGUAAUCUGUAGUGUAAUAGCUUGGUAGAAUUCUGAUUUUUGGUGGCGUCUGUUUAUGAUUUGCAGAGAGCAAGAGUAAGAGGGUUUCGUUGAAGAAGAAGUACAAGAUCAUAAGGAAGGUGAAGGAGCACCAUAAGAAGAAGGCCAAAGAGGCGAAGAAGCUCGGACUCCAUAAGAAAUCCAAGAAGGAGAAGGAUCCUGGUAUCCCCAAUGACUGGCCUUUCAAGGAACAAGAACUGAAGGCCCUUGAGGCCCGCCGCGCUCGUGCCCUUGAAGAAAUCGAGCAGAAGAAAGCUGCUCGGAAAGAGAGGGUAUUGAAAAAUAUCAUACUACUAUUGUCUUUUUACCAUUGUUUUUUUUUGGGGUGCUAAUUUGGAUCCAAUAUAGAGAACUAUGUGGGGGAUGUGGAGGCUUAUCAUUCUUAAAAAAGAGGUCUUUUGCUAGGAUAUAUAGUCCUUUUUUAUUAGGUUUCUCUUGGGUUUUAUAGGGGUAGCGUUGAAAUGAGGGACUUUCUAACAUUUUUCACUUCGCGUGCUAUGUCAGAGUUUGAUUGAUAAUGUGGUGUUGCUUCUUUACAUGAGAUUGCCUUGAAAACUUCGAAGAAGUACCUAGUUUGACAUUUCAGUCUUAAGAGUAGAAUGUGGGAAUGACUUCAUUUGAAGUGCAAUAAUUCCACUAAAACAUUGCUUGAUGUUGCUUGUUCAGGCACAGAAGAGAAAGUUGGGACUACUAGAGGAUGAUGAAGACAAUGUAGCAAGUAAAAGGCAGAAUUUUGGUGAGGAUUUCAAUGAUGUGUCAACUUCACUGGGUAAAAACCGGGGUAAGUUAGAAGCUUAUCAUGCUUAUAUUAGCGUGGGGGUGUGAGUUUUUGCUUUCCUUCUGCCUGAUACAUCUUAAUUCGCCUUGUUUUGCUGCAGAUAACUCAGAUAGGGCUUUUUACAAGGAGUUGGUCAAAGUCAUUGAAGCCUCCGAUGUCAUUUUAGAAGUGCUUGAUGCUCGAGAUCCCCUUGGUUCUCGUUGCGUGGAUAUGGAAAAGAUGGUCAUGAGAUCUGGACCUGAGAAAAAUCUUGUUUUGUUGCUAAAUAAAAUAGGUCUCCUUCUUUUGCCUGCUUUGAAAUUACUAUAACCAAUAGUCGGAAUGAUUUCCUGGCAACAUUUAUGCAUUCUGAGUAGCCAGUGAUGUCUAUAGAAUUUUGUGGUCUUUUAAUGGCAUUGCAAUGGCCUUCAAAUUUUAGCAUCAACCUUAAUUGAAAAUGGCCAUAAUGGCUUGAAUGAUGUUACACCAUUUUAAUUGCAAUCCUGCUGAAAUACUUUCUCUGCUUAACCUUUCUUGUCAGAUCUUGUCCCUCGGGAAGCUGUUGAAAAAUGGCUCAAAUAUCUUAGGGAGGAGUUGCCCACAGUUGCUUUCAAGUGCAGCACCCAAGAACAGAAGGCAAAUCUUGGGUGGAAAUCUUCCUUAAAAGCACGAAAGACGAGUAGUUCAAUGCAGACUAGUGAUUGUCUUGGAGCAGAAACUCUUAUCAAACUGCUGAAAAACUACUCAAGAAGCCAUGAGGUAUUAUUAGACAUCUGAACGAAAUGCUAUUAGAACUCUUUGGAUGUUGACUAAGUGAAAUCGUUAAAGCGCUAAAACUUCCUUCAUCCCUACCUUUCUUUGCAUUAGCCACUGUAGGAUGUAAAUUUAAUUUUGCCACCCCUUCCCAUGGGAGUUCUGUUUGUUGUUUUCUGGAUGAUAUCUGCUUCAACUGUCCUCUUAAAGCAAGUUUUGGCUGCAGAUCAAAAAAUCCAUCACAGUUGGGGUUAUUGGCCUACCUAAUGUUGGUAAAAGCAGUUUGAUUAACAGCUUGAAGAGGUCUCAUGUUGUCAAUGUUGGUGCUACUCCUGGAUUAACACGAUCUAUGCAAGAGGUACAGUUGGACAAGAAUGUGAAAUUAUUGGAUUGCCCUGGGGUUGUGAUGCUUAAAUCUGCUGGCAGUGAUGAUGCAUCAAUUGCUCUUCGAAAUUGCAAGAGAAUUGAGAAGUUGGACGACCCAGUUCUUCCUGGUAAUUGAAAUUUAUUUUGUCUGAAGCAGUAAAUUACAUCUUUGCCAUUUUGUAGUUAGUUAAUGAAUCUCUGACUAAAUACCUAUUUUUGGAUGAUGCAGUUAAAGAAAUUCUCACACUGUGUCCUGCCAGAAUGUUGGUAAUGCUGUACAAGGUUCCUAGCUUUGAUUCAGUUGAUGACUUUCUCCAGAAGGUCGCUACUGUCAGGGGUAAGCUGAAAAAGGGCGGCAUUGUGGAUAUUGAUGCUACUGCAAGAAUUGUUCUUCAUGACUGGAAUGAGGGUAUGUGUUAUCAGCACUUAUCUCCUCUCUUGCAGCAUAUUUAAAUAAUUGACUUUUACCAUACAUCUUUUCUUGUCUUGAAAUUAGUCAAAUGCGCGUUUGGGUAGUAUAUUUUGGUAUCAUAUUUGACAUUUCACUAUGUUUUCCCAGGUAAAAUUCCCUAUUACACGAUGCCUCCAACUAGAAAUGAUGGAGAGCCUUCAGAGGCAAAAAUUGUAUCAGAAUUUGGAAAGGAAUUCAAUGUGGAUGAAGUUUAUGGCAACGAGUCCUCAUUUAUUGGUAGCCUAAAAUCUGUCAGUGAUUUUAACCCUGUUGAAGUUCCUUCAAACUCUCCUGUCAAUUUUGAUGAAAAGAUGCUUGAGGUAUGUCGGUCUGAACAAUCAUUUUCAACUCAUGAGCAUGCAUUGUGACUUUUAAGUCGUCUCAUUUCCUUGAAGUUCAAAGGCAAUAGCUUUUUGUUAUAGUUCAGAGGAGAUUGAUUAUUUACGUGGAAGACUUUAUGCAUGUAAGCAAGUAACUUGAGAUUUGAACUCUUCAUCUCUUGGAGAAAGGCAAUCUACCUUUUAAUGUGAUGGGGAUGGAACUGAUGGCCUUUUCCCAUUGGCACUUUGUCUCAGUCUUAGCAAAAGAGUUAAAAGUCUGCUGUUAGAUGCUUUUUUGGAGUAAUGGUGCAGCUAAUACGUAGAAUUAGUCUGUCUGCAAUGUCAUAGCUUGGUUUUGCAAAUUUAAACUACUGUAAAUCAGAUAACAGCUAUUUGAAUACAAAAUUAUCCACACGGUGGGUGGGAAGGGUGGGGGCAUAUUUUGGAUACAAAUUGCAAUUCUACAUUGCCUUGUAGUUCAUUGUGAUACUUCUGAACAUCGUGUUUAUAUGCAUUUAGCCUUCAUAUGUGUUAUAUUUGACAUUGCAGGAUGAUGCUUAUCCAGCGUCAUUGCCCCAAAGUGAAAAUCUGGAAGACAAUGUAGGGGAUGAUGGAGAUGAGUCCAUGAGAUCAGAAGAUGAAGCAGGGUCUGUGAAGGCUAAAACUGCCAGCAGCAGGCAGAAUGAGAGGCUAUAUGCCGAGGAAGGUAUUCUUAACACUAAGUUGAAAAAGGCAGAGAAGAAGAGGAGGAAAAAGGACAAUAAAUCAACUGCUAUGGAAGAUGAUUAUGACUUCAAGGUAGAUUAUGUCAGCAAGGGAUCUGCCAUGGAAAUUGGCGAGGGAGUUGGACUGGAGGAUGAUAGCUCAAAAAACAGAUUUGAGCUGCCAUCUGGAGUUGAUUUAGAAAAUGAAUGAGGAAUUUUGUUUUAUAAUUUUGAGCCGUUUUCUCCCUUUUAUAAGCAAGCUUCUCCGUACGAGUUGAGCAAUGAUUUUGAUGUUUUAUGAGAAAGCAGGAGAUAGAAAAUAUUUUGUCUCGGUAAAGCUAAUUAUUGUCCUGGAGGAAAAUAAACUUUGGUGAGCCAAGACGUUUUUCCUGUCGCACAUUUUUUUGUGUGGGCAAAACUAAUGUUGUUGUUACUGCAGUUUUUUUUUUUUUUAAAAAAAACAGAAAAAACCCAGAAGUUAAAUCAAGAAAGGAGGAAAAGAACGGUUAAUGGCGGCAUAGCAUUAUCUUACCUUUGCUGUUAACCGUUCACCAAUUGACCGACGAUGUUACAGACGGCUGGUCAGGAUCAGGAAAAGUAUACAGCACAUGCUGUUUCUUCUUCUCGGUGCUGCUACGAUUUGGAGCGCCAGAUGAAAAUAUCACCUGAUCAUCUUUAGGUACUCACCAAAAUCAGAUUAGAAGUAGUUAUCGGUCAUAAUUUAGUAGCAGAAUUCGCGCCUUUGAGAUGUGACAACUAACAAGUUCUUCGAAUGUACGACGACUACAUAACGUUUGAGCCAACACAAGCGAAUCAUGCGUGUAAUUCAGUCGUUUCUUCAUGUUAUUUUUUAACCUUAGAAAGUGCCGAUCGAGGGAUUGAGUAGCCAACUGCAUAACCUUAGAAAGUACUGAUUGAGAUGGAGGGAAUUAUGUAUCUGUUUAAAGUAUUCCAUACUAAUAAUUAGAGCUGCAAACGAGUCGAGUCGAGUCGAGUUUUGAACUAAUCGAGCCGAAUCUCGAUUAAAUUUUACCGAGCUCGAGUUCGACGAGCCGGCAAUUUUCGAGCUCGAGCUCGACUCGAAUCAAGUCGAGCCGAGCUCGAGUUCGAAAAAAAUAAAAAAUAAAUAUUUUAUUAAAAAAAAAUAAAAUAAUAUUUUUUUCUAAAUAAAUAAUAAAAUAUUAAGGAUAUAUACGUAAUUUUACUAUGAAAAAAUAUAUAUAUAUAAUAUACGUAAUUUUAUUAUUAAAUAAAAAUAAAAAUAAAAAAAUAUAUAUAUACUCAAGCUCGCGAGUCGGCUCGCGAGCUAAUACUCGCGAGCUAAUGAAUUUAAUAGUCUUAGCUCGAGUUCGAGUUUGACUCAAACCGGCUCGAACUCGACUCGAGCUUGACUCGAGCCGCUUGCGAGCGGCGCGAGCUGCUCGAUUCGUUUGCAGCCCUACUAAUAACUAACAAGUGAAGUCGAAUUAUUUGGGUACAAAAGAUAAACCAGUUUCUAAGAGUAGAACAUCAUCACAUCAUUCAUGACAGAGAAGAACUAGUUGUUUGAUCAUCAUCGUAUCAUGACGAGUGGUUUAACAAGGAUUUUUGUGCAAAGGUCAACAAUUAUUUGAGAUAAUUUUGUGAAAAAUACUAUAGCAUUUCUUUGAUGUGAUGUAUGUGAAAUAAAAAGAUGAUUGAAAAAUAUGUUGAUGAUGCAAACAAAUCAAUGUGUGUAAAUGAGGUGUAAAUAAUGUGCAUUCCAAACACACUUGUCUUCUAAAUUUUAGGCAUGAUUAAAUGUCUAUUAUAUGCACACCGAUUUAUUCAAUACUUAAAAAAGAAAUUCAAAAAGUUAUCUACAACUCGUGUUUAUAUGUAAUAAUUAUCAGGUAAUCUAAUGGUGUAAAAUUACAUAAAUGCUUAAAGUUAUGCAUAAAAGUGCAUAGCAAUUAAACUCAUUCUCAGGGGCUUGGGGGGUCUUUAUCUUCUAGCAGCAGGACACCAUGUGGGGUUUCUAUCCCACAUCGGUAAAAUUGGGGGUUGGGGUUAGAUUUAUAAGUCCCUCACAGGACUCCCAAAGUUAUCGACUUUUGGAGUUACUGUGGGGAGUUAGGUUUAUUUGUUGAAACUCUUACUUUCAGUAAGAAAAUGUUAGAAAGAAAAAAAAUUAAACUUAUACACAAGAGUACUAGAGGGGGGAGGGGGAGUGGGUAUAUUGUAGUAUAUCUAAUAGGUGGAUGAUAAUGGGUAAAUUUCAAACUAUCAAAUGAAUGUUUGAUUUUUCUUGUAAUUCAUAUGGUUUAACACCUAAGGAAGGUUUAGUGUUUAGCAAAUUAAAAUUGUUAGAAAGAUGAUGAGAAGAGCAUUGUCUAGUUUCUUUAUUUUAAUGUUUCAUUGUAAACAUGGUGGGUGGGGACAAAUUAAAAAAUUUAGCACACUUGUGGGGUUAGAGAAUACUAUCAAAAUUUAAGAAGGGCAAAAGUGGGGCAAUGAUAAAAAUUUAAAUAUUUUUAUAGGGUAUUAGGAUGUAGUUUCAAAAAAAGAAAAGGGGGCCAUUGCAUGCACCCCCAAGUUGGCUGUGGCUCCGCCCACGACAACUAUACAUAACUGUGGCCUUGGUCGAUGCUCGAUUAGGUUAAGACGUUGAACUAGAUGACCACGCGUCCAAGAAACGGAUUAUUGUCAAAUCUCCGUUAGCAUUGGCCGUUGCCAAAUGACGCGGUUUGAAGCAAAACCGGCUCUUCCCAUUUCGGCCCACGGGAUAUAAAAGAGAGACUAUCCAUCCUACUUCAAAUUCUUCGCAUUAAUGCCAUUCGCAUUAUUUUGAACUUGGCAUUGGCAUCUCGGGUGAUUAAUGCCAUUCCCAUUACCAGCCAGCUUAGUUGAGUUAAUGCCAAUUUUUUUUUUUUUUUUGAUAACGAAAUUAAUGCCAAAAUUUUAAAACCUUAAAACUUACACCUUGUGGGCCAGUGACAGUGGCAUUUGCGUUAUUCCCGAUGAUGUACGAGGGUUUGUUAAACAACCUACCAUCCCACGGCACCCACCGAAGGAGUCUCUCCAGUCGCCUAUAUUUCUAUAAAAUCUUUAAAGAAGAAAUUAAAAGGAAAAAAAAAUAUAUAAAACCAAGAAAGACGAAAUUUCUUCUUUAUGGUCGAACGGUACAAAAAUCAAACUCGAUCCAAUCCUCUCCCCGCAUCGUCACGCUUCCUCUAUUUCUUUUUCUCUCGCGAUUUAUCCUCUUUUCAUUUGUUUGCCCCUCUUUCUUUCUUCACUCACUUUCUCUCUCUAGAUUCCGAAGAGGCCUGCUAGGGUUUUUGUGAGGGAGUUACCAGAGAGAGAGAAGAGUGAAAAUGGGGCAGCAGUCGUUGAUCUACAGCUUCGUCGCCCGAGGAACGGUGAUCUUAGCCGAGUACACUGAGUUCACUGGAAAUUUCACCAGCAUAGCAUCGCAGUGCCUUCAGAAACUUCCGGCCACGAACAACAAGUUCACCUAUAACUGCGAUGGUCACACUUUUAACUACCUCGUCGAAGACGGCUUCAGUAAGUUUUCAUCCUUCUUCGUCCUUUCCCGAUCCAUUUGCCGCUUCGAUUUGUUACGAUGUUAUUUGCUUGAUCCGCUAGUUAAUCGGUGCUUUGUCUUUCUUACUACUACUACAGAGUCAAAGGCUCGUGGUUUUGCUCUUCUUUUCUUUUCAUUUCUUUCUCUCUCUUUCUUCUUCUUCUCUCUCUCUCUCUUUUAAAUUUUGGUGAAUCAGCUACUUUACUAUUUUUAUUCGUUUUAUUUAUGUGAUGAUUUCGCUCUUUUGAUUCAGAUCUUAGUUGAUAACAAUUGGACUUUUUAUUUUCACUGAGCGUCUUCUGCGACUUUUCAGACUCUUGGUUUUGCAGUUCUGAAAUAAUUAUUGACAUUGAAAUGAAUGUUAUGAGAUUGAGUUCUAAAAUUCUUACAUUUACUGGUGAUUUUACUCUUCGCGGGCUGUGGCUCCGUUAGAUUUUCUCCUUUUUUUUUUGGUUAGACGUAUAUUCAGUUGCAGAUUAGAAGAUGACUUCUUAUUGGUGUUCGCAUGGAUCCUACGAUAAGGAUUUGGAUCUUCUCUUAUUAUGUUGCGUUCAGAUCUUUUUUGCUUCCUAUCAGUACCUUCUUAUUCUCUGAUUGAAGUUUGAUCGCUAUUUGUUAAUGAAAUUUUAUUAUAUGAUAUCACAGUAAUUAAUAAGUUGGUAAUUUUUUAGCUCUGUGACAUUCUGUGGCUUAAGGUGCUGAGAAUUAUGGGGCCUAGGAUCAAAUGGGAAUUUUGUUCGCGUGCAUUGGUUCCAUUAUAUUUUCAAGGCAGCAUGACUUUGUAUACAAAUUUAAAGUUUCACUUGUACAGAUUUAUUGCUAUUAAAGGAGUUUGUGUUUUUCCAUUCCACAUACUUUUUUUAGUUACUUCUUUUUCGCAAUUAUGAAUGCUUAAUUUUGAAAUUUCUAUAGUCUAUGAGUUUAAUGAUGAAAAACCCUUUCUAGAAUAAUGUACUUUUGAUUUUAAGCAACCUAUGUAUAUUUUUUUAUAGUAAACAUGAAUUAGUCUAACGUCUUGAUCUUUGAUUUGUUUGACUUGACUUGUCAUGAGCUUUGAUUCCUUUGAAUUGACUUUGUACUUGGACAUUAUCCUUAUCCAUUGCUUACACCCUCCUCCUUCCCUGCUGCCCCUACUAUUAAAAUUAAGUGCAACUAUUUUUCUUUUCAUGCUGCCUGUCUGCUCUAGAUUGAAUCUAUCUUGAUAAAGCAUAUUUGCCUUUUUUGUUUGAUAAUCGAGACUGUCAGUGACUGUUACUUACUGCUUGUAAAGCAAAUGGGAAUUACUUUGAUGUUCUGUAUCUUAGAAAUGGUAAAACGUGUAUGGAAAACAAGUUGUAUGCCUUUCUUGAUUUUGAUUUAACACAUAACAAUGACUUUUCUUUAGUUGCCUGUGUUCUCCUAUUUAAUUCUUAGGUUUUUAGGGUGGUUUUCCUGCUUUUGUGAUGCUUGGUUGUACAAUGACUUAUACGACAAUGUGGUUCUAGACAUAGUUCAAGCUUGUUGUUUGAGAAUCUGUUGGGUCAAUAGAAGUAUGAUUGAUAAAAAUUAGAGUAUUCUCACUCUUCCUAUAAUUUCUUAUCCGUAUAUGACUGUUGCUGAAAUGAGUUAUUUGAGAAUAUUCUCUACUCACGUGGAGCCGCCUUAGUGUUUUCAGGGAAAGAAGGGAAUUGAAUGUUUUCUGUUAUAGACGAGCAUUUCCAGACUCCUCUAGUCCAUUUCUAUGUGGUUGUGGAUAUGUAUCAUUGUUGGUUUGAGUGUUGUUUAGCUAACAAACCAAAUACUUCUGUUUGGCAGCAUAUUGUGUUGUUGCUGUGGAAUCUGUUGGGAGACAGCUUCCAAUAGCUUUUCUGGAGCGGAUAAAGGAGGAUUUUACCAAGAAAUAUGGCGGUGGGAAAGCUGCUACUGCUGUUGCUAAUAGUCUUAACAGAGAAUUUGGGUACUUCAUUCUACUCUUCUUCAUGAGCUUUUCCUUUUCCCUUUUUUUUUUGGAUAAUAUUUUUGCAUAUGAUAAUACUACUUUGUUGAAAUGACGCAUGAUGAUGUAUCUAUAGGCCCAAACUGAAGGAACAGAUGCAAUACUGUGUGGAUCAUCCAGAGGAGAUCAGCAAGCUUUCAAAAGUAAAGGCUCAGGUUUCAGAAGUCAAAGGGGUGAUGAUGGAAAACAUUGAGAAGGUUAGUGUAGUUGGCACCUUAACUACUUGUGCACUGCCUGUGAAUUGAGAGAUUCUGAAGAUUGGAAAAGGGGUCUAUGGAUUGGAUAUGAUGAAUCUGGUCUUGCAGGUUCUUGAUCGUGGAGAGAAGAUUGAGCUUCUGGUUGAUAAAACUGAGAAUCUUCGAUCUCAGGUUUGUGACUGUAAUAGCUUGCUAUUUCUGGUUAUACACUGGAUCACGUUUUUUCAUGAAGUUUCCCUCUUAAACAUCAUCUCCUGUCAAGUUCUUUAUUUUUGACUUUAUCUCUGGCUCCCUUUGGCACUUAUUUUCAGUUUCAGACUGUUUGGUACGUAAGGGUAAUGAGUUUGCCUUGGUCCAAUGUGCAGGCACAAGAUUUCAGGACACAGGGAACCAAGAUGAGGAGGAAAAUGUGGUUACAGAAUAUGAAGAUAAAGCUUAUUGUCCUGGGCAUUAUCAUUGCUUUGAUUCUUAUUAUUGUGUUGUCCGUGUGUGGUGGCGUCAAAUGUCAUUGAUUUGGUUGUGCUAUGGUUUUUGUUAGGCUGGUGAUUGACGGAGAACUUGUGCUGCUUUCUUGAUAUCAUAACAUAGCGUUAUGUUUACGUAUAAAUUUUUGGUGGCCCUUGCCUACCCAUUUGAUAGGGAUGGUACUCUGAGACAAUGCUUGUAUAGUCUGUAUUUCUGAAUUCGUUGAAUAUAUUAGAAGAGUCCGGAAUGUUUUCAGGAAAAAUAUGAUGAUGGUUCAUGCGCCUGUAUUUUUGAAUUUAUUGCGUGCUCAUGGUAUCAACUAAAUAAUUACAAUGCUUGCGUUAAAUUAUGAUACAUUAUCAACUUUGCUUUUUUUUUAAUGGAUAAUGGUUCCAUUGCUAAUUCCGCAGGCCUAGUUGACUGUUUAUUUUUUAUCUAACAAGAUUGUAUGUGUCAAGGGGAGCAUUUGUACCCGGGUUUGCAUAACUGAUGCUCUUAAAUUAGGUUGCUUCCUCAAUUUAUUUAGAUUUACGAAAAUGAAUCUUAAGGCGAAAACAGAAAAAUACCCUCUCUGAAACUCUUGGCACGCUUAGAACUCAAAAAGUCCAAAACCCGGCCCCCUUUCCUCGAAGUUUAGUGAUGCUCGCUGUUCUAUUCUUUCACUCUCGUUAGAUUUUUGUGGGGGGUAUUUCAUCCUCCUAGUUGUUGUUGCAUCUAGUGCAGAGUCCCGUCCCAUUGUUUACCAAUGCUCUUCCAUUUAAAAUACAGGAUUCCGUAAAUAUGAGCUUUUCCCAGCUUGUAAACGGUACACAUGAAACUUCCGCUAGUACGCUGAUGCAUGGUCGAUGGACUUUUGUUAAUGGUUCGACCCAGUCGCUGAUACGGUUCAUGUGAGUAGAACUAUAAGAUAUUCUCAAUAGGAGGCCCAAGAUGGCACUGUAGGUGUACUAGCUUUACGAGUCCACACACCACUUCAGAAUAGAAUUCAUUCUCAUUCUUUUUGAAGUAAUAAUAAUUAUUAUCGACAAAGAUCAGAAACAGAUAGAAUUCAUUCUCUUUCUCGUUGGCAGUCAACACAGCCAAAAUUCUGAUAAGUUGAUUGCAUAAAUUUCUGGUGAUUUUUCUCUCCGCUUAAAUAACGGCACCAUGGAUGGAGUUAAUAUAUUCUAAACUUGGCAUCCUAUUGCACAAGCAGGCUUCUGGGUACAUCUCUGUGAAGUGAACAGUUCGUUGUUAUGGACUGAUUUCCAUGUUGUCGAUCAGCCUGACCUUUCCAAACCAUGCUGCAACGCAAAAGACAGCUGGCCCCUUAAUCUCUUCCACUGCUUCCAGACUCUCUUGGUCUACAACCUGUUUCCAAAAUGGAGGAGGAACAUGUCAACCGUUCUAAAUUGAGGUACGGAAUAUGAACUUGUGAUAUUUUCAGCUGGCAGAAACCUCGGAUCUUUUUACUGAAUAGAAUUUAUAAAAGAGAGAAGAAAAAAAAAAAAACGAGAAGCACCUUUACGGAAGGAUUUAAAGAAUGCAGACAUCAAGUGAUUAUCACACAAUCAAUCAGAGGUUGGGUAGUCUAUCUUGAAAUACGGGGGAAACAUUGGGGUUAUUGAUAUAAUAAGCAUUUUUAUACUGCUCAUCAGCACUGCAACCGACAAAAACUCGAGCGAGCACUCAAAGGUUUCAGGUGUUCUUGUCUUGGUUACACGCUAACAUCGACAUUCACACUUUAUAAUAAGCAUUUUUUAUAUGGCUCAGCAGCAGCGCCGAGUGCUCCGAAAAAACUCGAUUGAGCACUAAGGGGCAGCUCUGAAAAAUUGACAGCUAACACCUGAGUAAAGUAAUGGCAAUUGCAACGUCUAUCUAAUUAUUUAAUGUAGAUACAGACAGCUAUUGAACAGAAUUUUUCCUAGAAAAGCCACAUUGUAGCAUGACUUUCAUGCCAUAGUUAUGCUUAAACUACCCUCAUCUGCUGCCUGUGUAUCAAUCAAGCUUCAAAAAUCGCAACGAUUUAUAUUUUGUAGUGAUGUACGAUUAAUGCUACUUCAACAUGAAAGGUUGACCACAAAUGGCACAUAAGGAACGGCCACCGAGCUCGAAAGCCCAAUGCUUUGGUUCAGCUUUACCAGAUAGUAUUAAUUAAGAGUACUAACAGUUGAAUAUGCAAAUAGGAGAAAAAUUACGUAUGAUGCCUGCCUGACCUCUGCAUAAUCAAUUAAUCCACCGGCUCCUUGUACAGACCGGAUCACUGAAUUCAUUAAUUCUCUGCAAUUAACUUGUCCAUUUUCCGCUGCAGCUUUAGCUUCAGUCAGCGAGCGACUUAUGGACAGCGCCUGCAAAAUACCAUGAAGAGCAAAGAGCAUUGGCACCGGGACGUGCCAUGAUUUUGACAGAUUAAACUAAGCACAAAUAACAAGUGCAAGACACAAUAAGCUGCUUCAGUCAGGAAACAUUCCUAGUAAAAGAGCAGGUUCAAGAACACAGGCAACUGAAACAACCGCGAACACAGGCAGACAUGUAUCAAUAUAAUUAAUAUUAACAAAACCACAUCACUAUAAGCUCUAGAGGCAAAUGUAUGCACUUGAAAAGUACCUUGUCCCUUUCAGCAGGUGAAAGGCGCACAUUACGGGAGCUCAUUGCAAGGCCAUCAGGUUCUCGCACUAAGUCAGAGCCAAUCACUUUUAUCCCAAAAUCGAGAUCUCGAACCUGAUCGAGUUCCCCCAACAAAAAAAAAAAAAAAAAAAAAAAAAGUAAAAAUGUUUUUUUUUUUUUUUUCCAAUUCUCUGGUAGGUAAAGCUUUCAUUUUUAAUGUCAGGCAAAAGUUGGAGUAGAAAAAGUAGACAUAAAUGACAGAUCCUGCAAUACUAUCUCCGUACUAAUAUCAGAAUGAAGAAAAAGAAAUUUGCAAUACUCCAGAAAGGCUAACCAUUCUUUGUAUAAUCCGCCACUGCUGAUAAUCUUUCUUCCCAAAAAAAGCAACAUCAGGCUCAACAAUAUUAAACAACUUGGUAACAAUUGUAGCAACCCCUCUAAAGCAAACAGGCCUGCUCUUCCCACACAGUGGCUUUUCCAAUUUUUCGACUCUAACCCAGGUUUCAUGCCCCAUUCCCCCAUCCUCCACGCAAGACACAACCUCUCUCCCUUCCCUUUCUCCCCCGUGUUGAUCUCCGCUAUCAUUCCAACAACUCCUAUCAUUGCUAUUAUCCCCAUAAUCAUAUAAAUUGUGCGGGUGGAAAACAACAUCGACCCCACCAGGAAUGGACUUGAGCUUGUCAAUAUCACCAAGAAAAUCAGAAGGGUAUGUUGAAAGGUCUUCAGUUGGGGAGAAUUGACCUGGGUUCACAUAUAUUGAAACGACAACUGACUGGGAGUGCUUGUGAGCAUCUCUAAUGAGGGAUAAAUGACCUUCAUGAAGGUAACCCAUGGUGGGGACUAACCCAAUUGUCUUGCCUUGGGCUCUCAUGCUUCUUGACCACUGUCUCAUCUUAUCCUUGUCCGAGAUGAUUAAGGGAUUUUUAGUGGCCAUUUGCAUGGAAAUCUGAACUUAAAAAGGAAUCCUUGUACUUUUUGCUCUGUCAAGAUCAAAAUUUUCUGUAGUUUUUCGAACUUGUGUGUGAAAUUUGUAACAGAUGAUGAAGGCAGGAGGAAAUAUGACUACUACUACUACUACUGCAGAGGAAGGAAAAUGGAUGAGCUUGUGGUGUGGAAUCUGGAUGCAGGCCCGUCAAGGGCAACAGCAGCGAGAGAAAUGACAAAAUAUGAAGGAGGCGGCGGCGGUGUUCCUUUCUGUUACUAUACUAGUUUAUAUAGAUAGAUAUAAUGGUCGUCUCUCGUCUGGCGAUAUGUUUUGUGGGAACCGGUAUCUAAUUAGUAAUGCAAAAGUACCAACUAAAUUGGUUCGCAGACCACAGAUUCGCCGCCAUGGAUCUUGGCUGAAAAGAAAAUUGUCAAUAAUAAUCCGUAUCUUUGAACUCGUUGCUAAGUACGUUACGUGAUAGUUUAAAUAUGUCCAACAAGGCCCAAAUCUACAUGAAUGCUAAACUAGAUUAUGUGAUAGUAGGUUUGUUUGGAUCGUGGUUUAUUUGUAUUUGUCGAUAUCAUCAUUACAAUUUUCAACACACCUUUUUAUCUUUUCAAUUAUUUUUUUAUCUCACAUACAUCAUAUCACAAAAAGUGCUACAGUAAAAAUAUCUCUAAUAAUUCACAAACCAAGCCGUAAAUAUGUCCAACAAGAGCAAAAUCUACAUGCAAAAAAAAAAAAAAAACAACACCGAUCCAUGGACAUUGAGAGCAAAAGGUCAAAAAACUUAUUCCUCUCUAAUGGAAUUUUUUUAUUCUCUACCGUGCACAUUUAAAUAAAUAUCCCUUUAUCUUUCUAAUAAAUAAAGAGACAUACUGUUGCAUCUAGACGUGAAUUAUGAAAAAUAGAGAAAGAUUCUGCUGAACAAGAUUAUUAUUAUUAUUAUUUUUUUAAGAAUGAAGAAUAUUCAGAUCCUGCCAAAUUCCAAGGUCAAUAGGUACAAGUUCGUUUUCAAAGAGAAACAUUCCAAUGUGAACCUCCAAACUAAAAUUUUUAUUUUUAAGAUUGUGGGUAGUAAAUCUUUUCUUGUGAUGUGACUAGAGAUAACAAAUUCUGCAAAGUAUCAAUGGUGAUGUUGAGAUACCUUGUUAUUGGACUGGUAUAUAACUACUGAAUCAUGUAGGGAUUCCCCAAGAGGAUAUACUAAUAUUGUUCCAAUAAGUGUAAUUAAGGAGCCAUUCGCCAACUUAAUUAUCUCGUAUGAUUUUCCUAGUGAAAGACAAAAGGAUUCAUACAAUGAUACAAAUAUAAUAGCACGUGAUGUAAAAUUUUUUGAGGAAAAUGGUUCAUUCUCCAAAUUCAUUCAAGUAAAUUAAAUCCAUGUACAUAUAUACUCCUUCACAAAUGAGGGCUCGGAGUGGGAUCAUGGGAGACCCAUUAUCUAGCAUCUUUCUUCUCUUCGAAACCAUGAUUUCUUCUCAUCCCAUCUGCUAUCCACACACCCUAACAAGUACUAACAAAUUCAUUAUCUCUAAUAAGAGAAACGAAAAACGGAAAAGAAAAAACUACUGAAGCAAACCACAGGAAAACAUAUCGAGAACAAAAGGCUGGUUUUCAAUCAGCAAGCCAUUUGAUCUCUAAAAGGUGUAAUCUCUUCAAAGAUUGGAAGCCUCCUGGAUCUAGGAGGAGCCCACACAUCCAGCAGCCGCUCGAGCUCAUCAACAAAGUCACGAUCAUCUUCUGAAUCCAGGCCUGGAAAUUGCGGUGGAGGCUGCCUUGUUUGGAGCUCCAAAAACAAUUCCUGAGCACGAGCUCCGGUCCUGGGGUCAUGGGAACCCGCAAGUUUUCCUUGCAAAACAUCAUCAAGAAUCAAACGUGCCUCGUCGUAUCGUGCCUGUUGAAUUAGGCAGUGACACAAGUUGCAAGCCUUGUUGGCAUCAGGCUCGAUCAUUUGUGCUUUCCGGUAGACUACCUCUGCAGAUAUAUAAUUCGAUUUCUGCAUGUACGCCCAAGCUAAAUUUCCCUGUCGUCGUCACCAUUACCACAGAUAUUAGAACUAGCAGCAGUCCUAUAUAAUUAAGGGCUCAAUGACUUGGACGUGGUGAGACAUUUUAUUUUUGGAUCUAUUCUAUAUAUAUAUAUAUAUAUAUAGUAUGUACGUACCAGUAUUCUUGAAGUUUCUUGCUUGACGGAAACUUGAAAUUUCUUCCCGUGAGAGCGUGCAGUCUUUGUGGGCUUUCCAUUGAAAGCCUGUCCGAGAUAAAUCAUCCGAAGCUUCUGCUUCAGCACCGAUAUUUGUUCGUCUACUCUUCCACAUUUCUACGUGAGGUUCAAACGCGUACCAAAUUAUUUGAAAGGUUUCAUUAACUGUACUGGUAAAUGAGGGAUUAAUUGUUUACGUAUUAAUAUGUGACAUAAGUAACAUAAAGUUGGAUAGUUCUUGCUCGCAUGAAGAAGCUAGUCAAUGUACGAAAGAUUAAUGUGAGCUAGGAGGCCUGAUGGUAAUUAAGGAGCCAUAAUGAAUUUGUACUGCCACCAUUAAAGAAACAAGGGGAUGUGCUAGACAACUAUUUACCUUGUAGAGGUCAAUGAGGACGUUGUCCAGUGAUCCCUGAGCUUGUUUAGAACAAAGUCCCCUAAGAGACUUGAUAGCUUCGAUGGCUUCUUCAGUUCUAUCCAGCUGCUUCAUCACCACUGCCAUGUCCUUAAGGGCGCUGUCUACUCGAUCUCCUGCAUUGAUAGCCUUCCAGAACAAAACAAUCGCAGAUUCCGGAUCCUUCUGAACUAGCUGAGGAAACAACAAAUUAAGUGUGAACGGAGAAAAUAAAUUUAGCAAACUUCUUGUGCUGUAUUAGUCACCAUAUAGCAAGUAUAUCAUGAAAAAAUACUGGUGGAAAAAAGACAAGGUGCGAAGUUUCCUGUUUUCGACCCAAAUUAAUGAUGGAGAGGUGCCCCCUAUAUAUCCUGCUAUCCAUGCUGCUGAUGUAAAAAGCCAGGCAGGUAACCGCUCCAACCAAAUACUAUACUAAAGCGCAUGAAUUCGUUUAUGAAAAGAGACAUUAAAGAGAAUUCUAUAUUAGUUAAGCUAUCAUUUCAUCUUGUUUAUUGCCAUCUCGAUUUAAAAUUAAUCGAGAUCUAUUAAGGGUGAAAUAUAAUUUCGAGCGCCAUGAUUUGAUAGUUUGGGUUAACCAUCGGAGGUUUCAAAUUUUUUCUUGAUACUGUAUUUCAUAUGGAUGACUUACCGACAUGGUUUAAAGUCGCGGACACGAUCAUGGUCCGGACCGUUCUACAUUAGCCUCGACAUAUUGAUCGUCGUGAGAUCCAAAUUUUUGAAACAUUUAAUAUUUUAAAAUUUAUAAAAAAAUAUAUGAUAAAUAAAAAUAAUAAAAAUUUGAUUUGACUUUAAAUGAAUCGUCCGGGACAAUUCGACCGUUUUAAUUCAUUUCAAAUACGUUACGAUCGAGUUCUCAGCGAUCCAUUAUCUUAGAAGCAUCUUUGAUUGAACCAUGCUCAACGACUAAAUCAGUAUCUUCUAGCGGAAAACCUUCACAACUUAGAUUACCUUGGAUCAUCCAGGUAAUACAAUAAUGUUAAAACAUAUAAAUAAAAAAAAAAAAAAACCCGACUUAACAUUGAGUUCAUAAUAUGAAAUAUUCUCCAUUUUUCUUUCGAAUAAUCUAUGGAAAAGUAUAAGUGAUAACUUAAAAAUCGUAUAGAAAGAAGAAAUAAACCUGAGCAUGCUUGGCACGAACAUAAGGACCAUCACCAAAAGGAACCUUGUGGAUGACGUGAAAGAGCGAUUCCUUGUCACCGUUAUUCAUCUCUUUGGUUGGAGAGCUCAUUUUCUUGUUCGAACUUUCUUCAGCCAUUUCUUUCUUCCGUCUUCUUUCCCCUUUCUUCCAAGAAGGGACAGUCUCUGCAGUCUCCGCUAGCUGGAUUACUUCAGCAGGAGAAAAAGGAUACAAACUAAGUAACUCUACCAGCCUAGCUUGCUACUUGCAGCCGUAUUAGAGCUGGAUCGCCAUUACCCUUUAGAAUGAAAGAGGAUGCAAUGGAUGGCAGAAUACACAGUCCAAACACAUAUAUAUAUAUACACACACACACACACACAGAGACAGAGAGAAAGAGAGACGUACUUGUGUAUACAGAUGCAAUUAAUUGAUUAUACAUGCGAAGGGAAGGCCCCGUGAACCUAGACACCAAAGCGUCCAAGUUCUCAACGAUGUAUCUUGUCGGAGAGAUGUUGAUUGGUGUCUCGUACUAAUCUCCAAUUCCCCAUCAUUGGUGCACAACAAACCUUUUAUUAUUAUUUAACUCUCCUCAUUCAUUUUUAACACUCGCUUGUUGAUCAGCUCGAGUAGAUUUUUUUUCACACCACAUUCAGUUACUGCUACUAUUUCUUUCAGAUUCUAGAUUUGAUUAAUGAUUAUCGUCCAAAAUAUUUACGAGCAAUUUCAAAAGCUCUUUACGAGUAGUAGUGGUAUUUCUUUCCAAUAAUUUGUACGGGUGAACCUGGACCCUUAAGAAGCCGAAAUACAGACUAAAGAAUUUGGAACCUGAAGUAAGGCUUGCUCAUUAUUGAUUAGUGCUACCGUAUCAAUUUUGCAUGCGUUGGAUUUCUUUAGUCAUUUUUACCUCCAAAAUGAAAAUGCCUUUUUUUUUUUUGCCAUCUCAUUUCCUGCAGCUAGCCUCUGUUUUGUUUGCUUUGUCCACGGUAAUAAUAGGCUUUUAACAAUUUAUGCAUCUGGACGUCUUCAUGGAAUCAAUUACUAAGAACGAAAUGACGGGAGUCAACAAAUACUUUCCCAAAGCAAAACAAUAAUGGAUAAUUAACCAACUCAAUUUUUUUUUUUUUUGGGAGUAUGAGUGGGUAAAGCAUUACUCUAUUCGCGGAGGAAUGCAGUUCCCACACUUUUACCUUGUUUCCUUGAAGCCAGAUUUUAUCCCCUCUAGCUGCAGGGUCUUGAUUCUUAUUGAUUUAUUUAUUCUUUUACUGAUGCUGGCCGUCGAGGAUGCAGGAUCUCCAGCGGUUAACGGUCUGAGAUUCACCAAAUCAAACGCGACCCGACUCAAUCUCGGCCAUCCAUUCUAAAAUCAAAGAAUUCUCUAUAAAAUCUCGUGACUCUGCUUCAAAUCUAGACAUCCAUUUAAAGGGGAGGUCGUUCUGGUUUUUGUCAUAGUGUUCGGUGCCAGCACAGAUUGGCUUCAAAUGAAGAUAGAUACUGGAUUGGGGAGCUGAGAACUAUGGCUUGAAAAUCCAUCAGCUUUAGGGCAAAUAAUCAAUGAGCAGGGGCAUGUUUACCAAAGAUAAUCGGCUUACACUGCCGAUUUGAUGCAAGGUGCAGGUUGAUUUUGGAAAACUUCAAUGCAAAUCGACUUGUUUUGAAUGUCUUGCACUCACAUGUAUAUUUCCAUUUGCAUAUGAGAACGAGCUAUUUGAUUAUUUGGGUGUUCUGUUAUAUUUGACUUUAUAUUUAUUAGGAUUUCUUUUUUCUGAUGCCCUCUACCUGGGGUUCCUGGAAUUUCAGUCUCGUGUCAUUCCACAGCUCAUUUAUUUAUUCCAAAGUCUUUUUUGUACAGAAUGUUAAAAUUGCCCUUUUCAAGUUUAAAUGCAAUUUGGAGUUGGGAGAGAGAGUUUUGUUAUUAUUUUAGCAUAAACUUGCUGUGGAAAUAAAAGAUGGGCUGUGGCAUUGUCAUUUGCCAUUAACAUGUGGCACUUGACAUAUAAGGAAAUACCUAUAUAAAAAUCUUACAUGCUCCUUGUUUGGAUUGCGAUUUUCCGUCAAAAAAUUACGUCGUUUUUCGUGAUCACAUUUUCUUAUUACUUUUUUUUCUCACAUACAUCAAAUCACUACAGUAAUUUUUUUAUGAAAAAUGACGGAAAAUGCAAUCCAAACAGGUUUGUCAGGACUUGGAUGCUCCGGGAGUUCAAUAUUUUGCCAAGUUGCAGCACUGUUAACCAUGUGAAAUAAUAGCCAAGACAACAGCUUCUAUGAAUUUUUUUUUAUUCUGUAUUUGUUUGAUUUAUGUAUUUUUUGAAAUCGACCUAAGAAAUGGAGCAAUCAAUCUAAAGAAUCUUAAAGGAGGAUGGGGAGAAGCAAGUGCUAUUUUCUUUGAUCUUUUUUCAAUUUCUUUCUCUUUUCCUCAUUUCUAAUCCCUAAUUAAGACCUCUGUUAUAAUUUGUUGAAAGCUUAAGCAAUAGAUCAGGUAAUUCCAUGAGAGAAUGGUAUUUUAUUUAACUAUUUAUAAAGCACAAGCUAGUUUACCGUGUGUCGUCUGAAAAUGCAUUCAUGGGAUAUUUGUCUCCUCUUCUCCCACCCCUUAAACUCCCAAACUAGCUGGAAGGAUCUCAUGUAACAUGUAGAAAAUCGAAAUGCUUCCUUUUUUUACGAAUUAAAAAAAAAAAAUUACCAUAAUGUAUCGCAUGUCGUUACAAUUUGCUGUCAACAGAAGACAGCAUCGUAUUUGAUUACCAUGCUUCAAAUGCCGCAAAAGCAUCAAGAAAGAAAGAUGUUCAUUUGACAUCUUUGGAUAAAAGAUUAACUUUGCUGACCGGUCGAGCAUUGCAAAGAUCAUCUGUUGAAUCACCUCUCUCAAAUACACCUGCAGCCCCCAUUCCAGAACCUAGAUAUGCAAAGCAGAGAAAAGAUUGGUAAAGAUUGUCUACCAGAAGACUAUCUGUUGACUACAUGAUCGAUCCUCUCUAAUAACAAUGAAGUAGAAGAAGGUAUAUAACACAGUAAUGGAGAGAAUGUAGGGAGGGACCUAUGCACAUGGAAAUCACACCAAAACGGCAGUCCCUGCCCCUUCGCUUCAUCUCAUGUAAUAAAGUUGCAACACAACGAGCACCUAACAAAAUUUGCAAUCUGUUAUUAUGAUUUUGGCAAUUGUGCAGAUUGGUGCGUUUCACAGAUCAGGAUACCAGAAAUUCAGGGAGACAUGCACAAGGGUCAGAACUGAUCCAAUUAGAGAUGCAGACUUUACCUGUAGCCCCCAAAGGAUGUCCAAGAGCCAUUGCUCCUCCAUUCACAUUAACUUUUUCCAUGUCAAGCUCCAGUUUCUUGCAGCAAUAUACGUAUUGCGAUGCAAAUGCCUGUGGAGUUCAAUGAUUCUAAUUUAAGGUGAAAAUUUCCAUUAACAAAGCAGAGUUAAAAUGCCUGUAAACAAAUCAAGUACCUCAUUUAUUUCAAACAGAUCAAUGUCAUCAACUCCAAGACCAGCAGACUUUGCCGCAGCUGGAAUUGCAACUGCUGGACCUAUUCCCAUCACUGCAGGGUCCACUCCAGCAACGGAGAAGCUCCUGCAUGAGAAGCAGCAGCAAGUUGAUGUCAACUCUUGAGAGCAAUUCAGGCAUGCUCAACAUUCCUAACUCUUGAUUAGAAUAAUGCAUUAUGCCAAGCAUUUUAUUCUCAUUUCAGAAAACAUCAUUCUUUCGUUUUCAUUUUCUUCUCCGAUACUAUUCAACAUUCAGAAAUGACUGCAGCUGCUUCCGCAGAGAGAAGGAAUUGACCUGUCUCAGGAAUCACCAAAUGCUAAUUUAAUGUGCUUUUGUGUAUAGAAAAAUAUUUAAUCUAGCUUAAUCAUACUAAAUAUACAUUGUUAUGGUAGCCAAGUGCCUCCAAUUCUUUUAUGACUCUUAAAUCAGUCUCUCUGCUUGUUAUGGAAUUUCAUGAGUAAAUUAACUUGUCAGUAAGUUUCAAUUGAACAUAGCAUGGCCUAUUGCAAUAACGAUUAGUUCCAGGAGAAACGACAAACCUUCAGUCCAGACUAAUUCCUUUGGAAAAUAAGAACAUCAGAUAAACAUGAUAACUUUAGUGGGUGAAGAUCAUAGAUUUAGCAUAAGCAGCCUCAGGUAAGUAAUUGAUAAAAUCACAAGAGUUACAGGAUUUGUUAGCCAAGCUAAAUACAUAUCUUCAAAAGGACUUCAAAAUAAUGGGCAUAUAAGGUGGGCAAGCUACAUUAAGCAUUCAAAAGAUUGGCCAGAUAUAAUAAAAAUUAAACAAUGUAUUUAUGAGUUUGGCACCUUUUUUUUCAAAGUUUCAACCUUUUUGUAUCCAAUGAGACAUUUGAAAGGACCUUUGUGCUUUUAAUUGAAACAGAAAUCUGGUAAAAGUUUCUUAUCAGUUGGUAAUGAGUGGAUUCUUUGUACCAGAAAACAACCCAAUACAUCCAAACAAGGUGUACAGGGAAGUUUCUAAAUACAAUGCGGUUGAUAUACAUCUAGUACUACAAAUAAGGCCCAUGACAUCCUCUCACUCUUUAUAGAUCAAGAGUCAAAAAUGUCAUCAGAUUAAGGAUAUGUCAAGGAGUAUAAAGCGGUUAACAAAAAUUGAGAACUAAGAAAGGAUUAUCAUUAAAGCUAUACCAGCUUACAAAAAAUAGUAGCUCGACAAAAUUAACUGCCGAGGUACAUGCCAGUUCUCUAUAAAAAGUUGAAAAAACAUCUAUAAGAAGGUAUACCAACUUGCCACAACAUGCAUACCUGAAUAUUCCAAGAAUUGGAAGCCCCUUUUCCAUUGCUAGACUCCUUUUCAUCAGAAGAACUGCACCUGCUCCAUCACUUAUCUGACUAGCAUUCCCUACAAAUGGUAUACUUGUUCAAACAGACUUCAAUAAAAGAUGAAGAUAUGAAGGCACUUGGCAGUGUCUAAUGUCCACUAGAGCUAAACAGUACUUGAGUACCAGCAGUUGUAGUUCCAUCUUUCUUGAACGCAGGUUUCAACUUUGCCAGAUCUGUCAAGUUUGUGCUUGGCCGAAUGCCAUCAUCCACUGAAACUGUAACUGGCUUCUCCUCUCCAUUUUUAGGGUCCUUGAUCUUUCAUGGUAAUCUCAGUUAGAAAGCAUUCGAAACGGAGGACUUACAUUUGGGCUUCAUAUUCUUUUCUAUGUGGGCUAUAUAAACAACAAUAAAAAGAUAGGCUUCACUUUCAAAGAUGAGUCUACUACCUUGGUGAAAACUGGGAUGAUUUCGUCUUUAUAUUUACCAGAUGCAGUUGCUGCAGCAGCACGCUUGUGAGACAUAACCUAUUGUUGCAAUAUUACGAGUUCAAAAAUUUUUCUCCCACCAAAUCAUGCAUCAGAAGAAAUAAAUAGAAAGGUCCAUGACUUACAGCAGCCUGGUCUUGUUCUUGCCGUGUUACCCCAUACCGCUCUGCAACAUUUUCAGAAGUAAUGCCCAUAGGGAGAAGACAGUCCCGGGCUUGUGGAAAGAGUCGACCUGUCAUACAAAUAUCUCCAGUUGAGGAUGCUACUUCACAAAUCAGAAGAUCUGUUCCAAAAGGUAAAGAGUAAGUAGAGCUGAGCUUACUCGUGGAUUAGCUUGUUGGAUGCUAACAUUGGAAUUAGUGGUCAUUGACUCUAACCCAGCCCCAAUCCCUGCAUGGGAAAGAAUUAAACAAGAAAUUUGAAUAAAACUAUCACCAGUUAUUAUUUCGAAAGGUAAUUUUUUUUUACCUAUGUCGUAGAAACCAGCUUUAAUGCAUGCAGCAACAUCAGCAACUGCCUGGAGGCCAGAAGAGCAUUGUCUAUUGACAGUUCUGAUGGGCACAGUUUCUGCAAAAAGGUACAAAAUUAUACAAGAGACAACCACAACUUGCAAGUAAAGGACAUUGAAGAUAAAUGCAGACAAUAACCAGCAAAAGGAAUUAUUUCCCGUAUCUGUUAGAAAGGACUUAUAACAGAAAUAGAAUGUCCAUUUCAUUUAGUUUAUCCUCUUAAACCAAUCAUAAAAUGAUUCCAAUUUAGAAGGCUGCUACUAUAAAUAUUCGUACAAUUUAUAUUCUGCAAUAUUUUUCUCUUCCUGGUUGCCAACUAAAACAAAGCAUCACAUGUCCACUCAUCCAGACAACAAAUUAAACACAAAAGAAAAAAGAAUGAACUAUUUACCAGGAAAACCAGCAUAGAAUGGCCAUCCUGCAUUCAGUUGCUCUUUGUGAACCUGGAGCUACAACAGUGCCCACAACUAUAUCCCCCACCACUCGCUUGUUAAUAUUUGUCUUGUCGAUCAAGGCCUACAAUGAAUGAUAAAUGUAGGAUGAUACACUAUAAUUGUUGAAUGAGAAGUUCCAAUUAUAGAAGUGGAUAACAAAUGCUAUAAUAAUAGAAGAUAGAACAAGAAUGGGCAGCUGACUUAAGAAGCAAAGACAAAGAAAUCUAAGCAUGAGACGUUCCAAAUAAGACACUUAUUUAUUGUUAAUCUAAAUUAUUAUUCAGAAAAUCCAUUUCUGUUUUAAAAACUUAAAACGUAUUUGGCUGCUACAAUAUUCUAACCAAAAUCACUUAGAGCUGUGACCUUGAACAACAUGAAAAUCUGUUCUGCAACUGACCUUCAGAACUGGAGCGAGUAAAUCAUCCGCAAGGGUAUCUUUGAAGCCACCACGUUUUGAUUUGCAUAUCGCAGUCCGAUAUGCCCUGUAGAACAUGACUUGUCGUUAUCAAACUGACGGUAGAAGAGCCAUUUGGCACAAACUAGGACAAAACAAUCUUGACUGCAAGUAACUUACGCUACAAUGACUACAUCAUCUCCAAAAGCAGCUGUCCUCUGGUAAGCAGCACUAUCCCCCGCCAGACAAAUUGACGGCUAGUCGAGUAUCCCAAAAUAAAUUAUACAAAAAAAAGGGUAUGAGAAUCGAAAAGUACAAUAUUGUGUCAUGACUGCAAGUUCUGGGUAAUAGACAAAUGAUGAUCAUAGCAAAGUCUUUGAUACAGUUUAGUUCCCCCAAACGAAAACUUGUCCUAUCUUGAUCUAAAACAAAGUCUUGAGCACAGAUUUAAGAGAUGUUCUUUAGCUUGAAAGCCACGGAUUGAUUAUCAUAUUAUGAAGUUGGAUCACAUCAAAAGUUAUGCUACCAAUUCUAAUUGCAAUCUUGCGUAAAAUAAGCAAAAACUUAUGAUUCGCGCACUAGCUUAGAAGUGAUUGCUUUGGCAGAAUAGCAUGAAGCAAUCCAUAUUCUUUAAAUAAGAAAGUUCUUUACUUGUUUCAACUGCCGUUGAAAUAACACAGCAAAAUACCAUCGUCCCAACAUCCAACUAUAUAACAGGGUAAUGCUAGCUAGUAACCUAACACAGUAGACAUCAAUUAACUUCUAAACUUAGUUCCAGCAUUCCAUCAAGCAAACUGUUGACAGUCAUUAUUCUCAAAAAAAAAAAAAAAAAAAAAAUCUUCUCUUUGGGUAAUGAAAUUAUUGCAAUCACCCUCCAUUUGACGUAAAUUCUAGCCCCCGCCGGGCCACAACCAUCCAUUAAUAACGUGAUUGAUCUAAAAUUUUCAUUUCAGAAUAUAUUUGAGCAAUAGAAUUAUAAAUCUUACAGAAAUUGAAGAAGAUUCUUCAUGGGUCAGCUGAUGAGAAAAGCAAGAAGUGGGUUGCAGGUGUUCCAGCAAAACUUUUUGUCUGAAGAUAGCUUUCUCCAUUUCCUGGCUUCCUCCAAGUUCUCACCAACUCUUUUUUACCCUCUCUUUGUUUCUUGAUCAAUUAAUCAACGAUGUUAAAGCCCACUUUGCACUCGAAUAAGCUAAUUUGGCAAGAUACUUGUAUAUAUAGAGUGGAGGUAGCAGCCUUGAAUGCAAUAUGGCCUUCAAAUUUUAUCGCUGACCAGCAACUUUAAUGGUAAAUAAGUUUUAAAAACCGAAAUUGCUGUGGCGUUUUUGGGUCAAGUUCAACUACCGAAAGCUUGUUGGUAUUCCCUCCCUUUUUUUAUAACUGUCGUUUAAGAAAUUUGCUUCUAAGUACUUUUAUCUGUCGUUUUACUAUCCCUACGCAGCAUUUAUUAUUUUUUCACAUUUUUACCCUUUUAUCUCUCUUACUCCUAGUAAUUAUUGCUUCUCUCUGCCCUUCCAUAUUCUUUCUUCUUUUCUCACCGUAUGUUGAACCCCUUUGUUCUUCUUACUCCUAGUAUGUUGAACCAUUUAAUACAGUGAGAGAAAACAUGGGUGAAUGGAAUAAUUAAUGAGGGUAUAAAAGGAAAGUGGUAUAUAGAUUUAAGCAAUGAAAACUUUUCUUAAUUGACGUGCAAUUCUUUAAACGCCAGUUAUAAAAAAAGGGAGGGAGUAUUAGUCUUUUUCGUUUUUGGCGUUGGUCUUGGUUUUGGGUAUGCGUGUCUUCACCGAUUGCAGUAAUGCACUUGUCUGCCGGUGGGGACUUUGGCAUUAUGAAAUGCAUGAAGAACGUGGUGGGCAGGGCCGUGGGUGGAUAUCUCAAUCCGAGUUUUCCCUGAUUUUGUUGCAUUUGCUCCGAAAGUUCAAUGGGAAUCACACCGUGGAAACUAAGAAAGAAAACUCAUGGAACUUUUGACGAAGCUACACUUGAUCUUCGUGUGGAAAUUAAGAAAGACCUUAGCUUUAUUAGACUUGUUACUGUCAUUUGCACUCAGCACCCCCCGAUUAUUCUUAAACUAUUAAAUUACAGCACGAUGCAACCCUUCUUUUAUUAUUUAUUUAAACUUGUUUUAAUAGGGGAAUGAUGGAACUUUAAAAAGUGGAGAGAGGGCAGGGGAUUAAAUUUAAAAUCUCUAAUUCUUGAGAUCUCAACCUUAAUCAAAUUCGGAAAUAUAAAUAAGAAGAACUCUUUUUUUUUUUUUUAAACUACAUGAAGUACUCUUUUCACCAUAGCACCCCGACAGCGUAUACAUGCCACCAUCCACCAUAUAUAUAUAUAUAAUUUUUAACUUUUUUUUAAAUAUAAGUGAGAGGAUUUGAACCCGAAACCUUAUAGUACUUAUAUUAUCUCUUUCUCUCGAAUCACCCAACCCAUCCCAUCCCAUCCCACUUUUAUAUAUUCUUGUAUUUAAUAUAUUUCUUACUUUUUUCUAGUAAUAUAAAUAUUAACAAAAUAUAAGCAUUUAUGUGGCUACUGAAAAAAGGCCAACCUAGCGCAGUUCACUUAGGUAAGGAGCUUAUGGUCUUUUUAAUUGCAAAGGGCUAACUAGUUUCCAACGUAAUUUAGGCUAUUGAGAAAGUCUACAAUAAACUAUAAAGCGUGAGAUACUAUGUUGCUAUAACUUAUAGUUUAGGGGGCAAAGUAUUAAUCAUGAGUAGUUUAGGCGUGCAAAUUACAACUACCCCUUUUAAUUCAUCUUAAUUGAGUUAAAAUAAAUUUGUUAAGAUUUCAAAUAUUUUUUAAGCUAUUUUUAUUUGAAUUCUCUUGCCCCAUUCGUUUUAAAAAAGGAUUUCAUGGUGGUGUGUGGGACAUGAUCGUUGACUUGUAGAAAGAAAAGAAAGAAGGUCUCCAUUCCCUUGAAGUUUCGGGGAAUUAUUUAAGCUUAAGAAAUUCAUCAACAAGCCAUGAAAUUAAUAACAACCCUUUGCCGCCCUUCCAAGGCAGUCAAGCUGGUCUCACUAAGGGUUAGUACCCCCGAGGUCCAGUGUUCAAGUCUUGUCACAAAAAUGGGGAAUAGCCCAACAACUCGAAUAAGGGUUGGGGUCUGAAGUGGGGUCAGGUCCUUUUUUUAGAUUAAAAAAUAAUAAUAAUUACAACCCUUUGCCCUCAAACAUGUUUUUUUUAAGGAGCAAUUAAUUAAGUAAUUUAAGGUAGUUAAUGGGAUUAUCAAACACCUUAAAGUCCUCACAACAAGUCACUAUAGGGGGGGGGGACAAUCAGGAAGGCCUACUAAAUUAUAAUUAAUUAAAGUGAGUUGUUUCAAAUCCAGAAUAAAUGAAAUAAAAAACAGAGUGAUGGCUGUAUUUAUUUUUUUAAAAAAAGUAAUACUAUAUAAAAUCCCAUGUGUUGCAACAACAUCUCUCUUAUUUCUGCACUUACGGGGCCAAAUUGGCAUCUGAGCCUUGAUUUUGUUGCACCGUGACUUGUAAGAUGGCUAUCAAAGGUUAGGUAUGCUUGUACAAUUCAUUGCUCAGUCAACAGAAUAGAACAUGGAAGAAGAACAGCGAGAAAUCAUAGUAAUUCAAUUGUCUGAUUUCUUUCCUUCUACGUCUUCACAACUUCAUUUAAGAUUUGAUCUGCAUUCAUUCAUGAUGAAAUACCCAGUAUUCAGUUGCAGUGAGCUCUUAUCAAAUACCAGUACCAGAAAAACGAGGAACAAAAACAGAAUUGUACACUUCCAAAGUCGAAAAAACUUUCUUCAGCUUUCUUGGAAUCGAAAAACUGCUCAACUAUCAGUACCGGUUAUGGAGAGUACGACUGGGAGGUACUUGACCAGGACAUGUAAUGUGGUCAGGCAUAACUUAACUAACAUCUUGUACCUUGCCGCCUCGGUGGCUAGGCGGAAGCCGCAUAACCACACAAAUUUAAGAAGCUUUCUACAGUGAUAUUCCACACAAAUUCGAGCUUAAGCUUAUUUUACUUUAAUCAAACUCGAUCAAAUCGAAGUCAAACGAGUUUUUAAGCUCAAAUUUUUUUUAGUGAAUUUCAUAAUUUUAUAAUAAAGGAUAAAAUACACAAAACUCCCUUGUGGUUUGACUAAUUGACACGCUACCUCCUCAUUAUUUAAAAACACUCACACUACCCCCUCGUACUUUAGACUAAAGUGAAAUUUAACCGGUAACCUGUAUGCUACCUGCAAGUGAUGUAUUAUUAUUAUUAUUAUUUUUUAUUUUAUUGUCAUUUUUUCUUUCAAUUUUGGUGCUUUGACUUAACUAUCAUUUGUAUUUUUACAAAUUGUAUAAUUAGUUAUGCACUUUUAAAAUUUUCUAAAAAUUAUUCAUACCCUCUCACUAUUUUGCUCUGCCAUCUCUCUCUACUGACGCCAGUCGCCACCACCACUCGCUGCUUUGUCUCCAAAGAUUUUUUCAAAACAAUGACCCCAAAAUCCUCCCUCAAUUUAUGCAACACAGGGUCCUCGUUAGAUGCUGAAUCAGGAAAUUCUUGUGGGUUCGCUCCGGCCCAAUCACCCGAAUUACGCAGAUUAAGAUCGUAGUACAUACUCUCAGAAGUCGGGUCAGACGGGAACUUCAAAUUGGAGCAUCGGUUGCUCUUGAGCAUUAGAUUGGAGUUGGAGCUUGAGGUUCUUCAUCUUCUUAGUCGGCCUCCAUUCGUUGGGCUUAGGAGGAAUUAUCCGAUUAUCCGGAUUUUUUGCGAUUGGGGCUUUGGAGAAGUCGAAUUCGAUAAUGAAUUCUUUUGACUCUUCGGUGUCGGUGGCAGCGUCAGAGGGUUUCUUGAGGGUCGAAUUUUAGGGCUUUGAGGAGAGGGGGAAAGAAAGCUUCAUCUUAGCAAAGAAUUGAAAGAAGAUUCUAAACUAAAAUCUCCGAUCCCCCAAAAACCUACAAAUAAAGGCGAGGACUACUUGCCAUUACCAAUGACUCUCCAAUGCAAUUGAUGCAGUAAUUUUGCCUGCAAUUAUAUAGGGUUUAAACAAUUUAGGUAUUUUCUUGGCUAAUCCAGAGUGAGAGGAGAGAAUAAAAGACAGAAUUGGAGCAGUAAUUUUGGAUGUGUGCUUUCUUCCUAUGCUAAUUGUUAUGCCUCACGCCAAGGCGUAAGGGUGCCAAAGAGGGAGAGUAUGAAGUGGUGGAAGGGAUGGUGUAGAGUUUGGGUGGCGAGGGGGAUGGUGGUAUGAAAUGGUGGUGCAAAGUUCUGGUGGGAAGGGAUGGUGGUGUGAAGUGGUGGAGGGGAAGGGGAGCAGGAGAGAGGAGAAAAAAGAAAGAAUAAAAAAAUUAGCAGAUGCCAAGACCUUUGCUUCGAUAUUGUGAGUUGUGGAGAAUGUGAAAUGGAGGAAGAAGAAGAGGAAGAAUAGAAAAGAAAAGAAUAAAAAAGGAAAGGAAAGGAAAAUAAAAUAAAAAAGAAAAAAAAUUAGUAAUAGACAGACUACCGGUUCAUAGCAGGUAAAAAAGCGUAAUUCUACUCUAAUCCAAAGCACGAGGGGGGUAGUGUGGGUGUUUUUAAAUAAUGAGGAGAUAGCGUGUUAAUUAGUCAAAUCACAAGAAGGUUUUCUGUAUUUUAAACAAUCAAGUACUUGAAUUUUAAUUUUUUUUCUACUCAAAUUUAACUCGUUUACCUUAUUUAUAAAUAGUUUGAACUCAAUUCGAACGCGAUCAAUAUUGAAUUUGAGUCGAGUCUUUAAUUGAACUAUUGACGAGUCAAAAUCAAGUAGCUAGUAUCAAAUACUUCGAACUCCACUCAAACUCGGUCCUUUUUUUUUUUUUUUUGUCUCCUUUGUAGAUGACUAAUCGAACUUCCAGUUCUAAAUUUUCUUAGACAAGGCAAACAACCGUCGGGCCGGACGAUUGGAUUCAAAACCCAGCUUCUCUUGGGUAAAGUGAAUUAGUUCUUGACCGGAGCAAACUCUGCGUUGGCUAUUAGAUUACAGACUGAGUGGUUGAAGGAUCGCAACCGUCAGAAUCAUCCUUUAGUGGAUGAGGGGACCUGGACCGUUCUCGUUUGUCCCCCGCUAGCUUGCAAGGAAGGAGUCCGUUCAAGGAAAGUGCAUCCGUGACCCCAGGUGUAAUCAGUAAUCACCCGACCUUUUACUGUCUCGUCUCUCGCAUUCGUGCUAAAUAUGUUUGCGCGAUUGCCUUUGAUACAAGGCUAUGGCAAUUCGCACCCAGUCGCACCGACCCGAUCGUGGGGUAUUAUUCACUUGGAAAAAGUGUUUUGAUAGUUCCAUUGCAGAUCAGCAAAACCAUAUGCUGCAUACUCUAAUUUCUCUUGCGAUCAAAAGGUGAGCAUAUUAGCGAAACUUGCCAUUGAAGAUGUAAAAGUGGUUUAGCUCUUGUGUUACAAAACUUGUCUUUUAAUUCUUCUAUCUUCAAAUUGCUUUUUGUUUCUUUUUUUUUUUUUUAUCAAAAUGGGUUGUGAGAAUAUUUCUCAUUGAUAGCUUAUUAUUUCACUUAUUAUGUCCAGAUAAAAAACCAAAGAAAUUUUAUGUGUAGUUUGUUUUGUCAGUAUAUGAAUUAUAAAGCAUAGUUAUACAUCAAGUAAAUGCAUCUACAGACUGAAAUUUUGCAAUUAUUAACAUAAUUCUAAUGUAGCAAUAUACUACUCAAAAAUUUUGAGGUAAGUACGAAUAAUUUAUCUUUUUUUUAACAUGGUAAAAAUAAUUGAAAUGUGAGAUACCAUACAAAGCAUUAGUUGUGGUCAUAUUGAUGCACAACUCUCUAAUCAGCUUUAGGCUUAGUUUGGGAGUUUAGGAUAGAAAAGAAACUAAGGAAAAACUUAAAUUAUGAGAGAAGAGAAAGAGAACAAUGUUAUGUUGUUUGAGAGUUUUAAAAAUUAGUGGAAUAAUUUUGGAUACGGAAGUCAUUAAAUAUUUAUUCAAUAACUUUUUAAGGACAAAAUGGGCAUUUUGAAAAUAUUUGACAAGCUUCCUCAAAGUUUCCUUUCAUUUCCGUCCAAUUUGAGAGAAAAAGUUUUGACUGCUGUGACGCUUGAAUCCUCCCAUUUCUUUCAUUUUUUGUUCUUACUAAAAAGUAAAAACUAACAAACAAAGAAAAGUUUGUUUGGACAAGAAUGAUUUGAAAAAUAAUAAUUUACUUGCAUCAUUCCAACAUACCUUUUUAUCUUUUCAAUCAUUUUUUUAUCUCACAUACAUCAUAUUGCAUAUAUUGAUUCAGUAAUUAUUUUAAAUAAAUAUCUCAAAUAAUCGCGCAUCCAAACAUAUUCAGACUUCUUUCCCUUUUUUCUGUCUAAAUUCUCAACUCCAAAACAAAGCCUUAAAGUUGUUUUUUUGUUCGCAUCGCGCAAUAUCCUUUUCUUUUUUUUUUCUCUUCUUAUAUCACACUUCCACGAUGAUACUUUAGAAGCCGCGGGAGGAGGAGGAGUUGUCUAUGAAAUUGUGAGCUUGAGAGGAAGCCUCAACGGUGGUCAACAUUCAAGAUAUUUUUUUUAGUCAAAAUGUCACUUCAAUUUAUAUUGAUAUAAUUAGUGCCUUUACAAGCAUUUACUAUAAUUUCGGGCAACUGCCAUACGAGAUGACUACUUCUCAUUCAAGAAUUCGGACGGUUAAAAGUUUCCUCUGGUCUAGACCGUACAGCAGCCCAAUGAUAAGAUUUAUUAAAGUUUAAGAGGACGAUGCUCUGACUCAAUUGCGCUCGUAGACUCGCGUGCAUGUGACAUCUGAAUUCCAAAAUCAUUUGUACCGACCUUUUAUUACAGCCAUGCGUUGAGUUAUUUUGUGUGGAUAUUGCAUUUUUUAUUCAAAAUAAAAAAUGGUGUUUUUUAAGGGAUAAUUUCAUAUACCCCGUCGAGGUUUCUCGUAAUAUCACUCAACUCUUCUGAAGUUUUAAAAAUUUCGUUUACUUUUCUUAAAUUGACAUUUCUUGUAACAUUUUAAUCCUUUUAGAAGAAAUACAAUAAAGAUACAACUUUUGUUUCAAUACUACCUUUAUAUUGUCCUCUUAUGAAAUUAUAACAAUAAUAAAAAAUAAGGUUAAAUUUUUAUAAGGUGUAAAUUUUUUGACGAAACUAUUAUUUUAGUCGUGUUAGAACAAAAAUAAAAUUUACACCUUGAAAAAUUCACGCAUGUGAAGAAGAGAUUAUUUAGUUUUCAAUACAAUUUAAACUACACCAUGAAUUAAAACAUAAUUCCUCAAAAUAUAUCUAGAUUUUCUUAAUUGUAACUUAACUAUGCACGAAAAUUUUCAAGAGAUUAAUUACUUACCAAAAUCCUCCUAAGUUGUUGACCUUGAUUAAAUUUAAUUUAUCUACGUCAUUUGCUAUUCCACCAUGAUCCUAAUAUAAAGAAAUGUGAACCGUUAUUAGCUAGCAAUUUAUUUUUUAAUUUUAAUUUUUGGUUUUAAAAUUUUAUUUUAUUUUGGCUUUGUGCUUAAAUAGUUAUUAAGAACAAGAGGCAGUGUUGUCAAAUUGUGACCUUUGAUAUGAAUAUUUAGUCUUAUCAAGUUGAUAGUAGAAGUAAGUGAAAUUUUAAAAAUUUUAAGAGAGUUGAGUGAUAUUAUGACAAACCUCAUAGGAGGUUUCUAAAAUUAUCCCUUGUUUUAAUUUUUUCUCAAAACUAGCAAUCAAAAAUACAAGUUUUUUUUAGUGAAUGGGGGUACAUCUACAAAUUAGCAGGAUAUAUUCAAAUUUUUUUCAAAAGGCUGCCCAAUAUUCAAAUUUUUAUUUUGUUUCAGUAGAGGUGAAUUGAACAAUGAGUAACUUUGACCAAGAUUUCAACAACAAAUUUUCUUCUCCUCCGUACUUCUUUCAUAGUAGACUUAGCAAUCUUUUUUUUUUCUGAAUAAAAAUCUAUGUUUUAAUUGUAUCUUAUCAAUUUGAGAUUUACAAUCAUAUGGAGUUUAAGUAAAAAAGAAUAACAGGGAAAUGGGAUACUAAGAAUAGUAGGAUCGAAAGUGAAAAAAAAAUGACAGAUAAAUUGAAAUAAGAUAGAUUUGAGUAUGACUAGAUGUAUAGUUUAAGAAGAAUAGUGAAAGAAAGGUGUUUGUUACUCCUUUUUGUUUUUGUUUUUCUACCGUCUACACAAUGAAAAGUGAAGAAAUAGAUGACUAUUAUUUCUUCUCAAAAAUUUAAUGUCAAUGCUUACAAAUUCUCAUUAAAAGUGGUGAUAAUUUUUAAAAUUUAAAUAUGAAACAAAUAUUAAUGUACAUCAUUUUCAAACCAAAUGUCUAUUAGUUGUAAAGGACUACUCUUUAUGAGUUUGAUAUUUAUUAUUGACUCCCAACAUUUGAAUAUUGAGCUUAUUUUGAUAAUUGUUCAAGCUGUAGCAUGAACAAAUAUUUAUACAAUCAAAAAAAAUUAAAUUCAAGAAAAUUGAUAAAUUGUGAAGGUAGUUAAAAAAUAUGAUAUUGAGCCAGACUGUAACCUUUUUUUUUUUUUUUUCUUUUUUGAAAGCCGGUUGUAGCAUUCAAAUGGUAGACGGGUCAAUUGUAAUUUUGAAACGACCCGCAAUUGUGUCCAACUGGAGUCAGUUGCGAGUGGCAAUGACGAGCAUUUUGGCGUCAGCAUACGUAAUUAUAAAAUGAAAAUCACAAAAAAAAGCUCUCUGGUCUGAAUCUGAUGAUUAGACAGAAUCGUUGCUGUAGGCUAGUUGCGGUUAUUUCUUGUCCUCCGCUCGAUUCCAGCAUAAUCUCAGACCCUUCACCCACUCCCUCUAACGUGCCUUUUUUUCGGAGGGGGGAAAAAAAAAUUCUUUUUUCUUUUCCUCUGUCCUUACUGUUACUUCCUCAACUCUUUGCUUCACCAACACUCGUAUCCAUAGCUACCUUACCGAUAUAUAUUUCUGGAGUUCUGGAAAGCUCUUCAGAUCUGGAUCGAAAGGAGCAGGAACGGCGAAGUUCGCCGGAAACGGUGAUGGCGGAGUCGUUGGAGAAAGUUGACCAGGCUAGAACUUCUUCGACUUCCAGCGAAGUUUCCGUGGAAUUAGAGAAGGAAGCUGAAGGCGGAAGUAUUAGAAAUGGUUAUGGUGGUGAAGUACACACCGUCGACUGUAGCAGCAGUGAUGCUCCAGUUUCUAAUGGCGGAGGUGACUCUUCAGGUUUAUUGAUUGAACUCGUAGCAAAUUUUUUUUUUUUUUGCUUUCCCAUGCGAAGUAGUAGGACAUGAAGGUCGAAAUUACGACGAUUAAGCUAAAUCGAACCCCCUUCCCGGCUGAUGCAUCCUUUUUGGUUCUGAUGAAUUAGAAACUUCUCAGUUCUUGCGCAAUUCGAAGUGGAACUCUCUUUUUAAGUUCUCUUUCUUGAAAUUAGGGUGUCUACGUUUUGGUAUGGAAGUAAGAUGAGAGAUGUGACUGUUUGAUUGUUGUUUGGCAUUGGAAUGGUAAAAGUUCCAAUUGAAUUAAUUGCUAUUAAUUUGCCAGGAACCGCUGGGAGUAUCUCCAGAGUGACUACAUUACAACCUGAAAUUCUGAGUUUAGACAAAUUGGAACCACCUUUAAAUAAUUUUACGUUGGAAAGAGCAAAAACUGAGGGCCAGAGGCAUCAUAACAUACUUUCUGAAGAGGCAGCACAAAUUUUUGACGACAAAAUUCCUGUGCAACAGAAGGUAUUGUUAUGUCCUUAUUGUGUUUGCGUGUUUCUUUCACAUGACAACAUUGCGCAUCAUUUACAAAAAAAGGUGCUAGACUGUUAAGGGCUUUCUAUUUUAUUUUUAUUUCUUUUUUCUUCAGGGUUUAUGAUGUGGAUCUUGGACUUUAUUUAUUGUCAAAAUUAGUUUACCGGCUAGAGUGAUUGCUAACAUAAACGACUAAUAUUGUAUUUGUGUGGCAUUCAUCGAUCAACCUGAGAGUUGAAGAAGUUUAUUAUAAUGUCCUGCUUUCAUUCUUUUUUCGUCUACCUGUUAUCUGUCUUCUUUCUUGCUUUAUCUCCUUCUUUUGGUCAAUUUUCUCUUCAAUAGUUAAAAUUAAUCAAUUUUGAAGCAUGAAUUUGGUGAAAGACCAAUUAAAAAUUUGAAUAUAUUGUUCUGGCCAUUUGGUCUUGGAAGAAAUGCUGUUGAUAAUGGUCAAUUGAAAAGAUUAAAGAGUGUGUGGAAGUUCUUACAGUUGUCAGCUUUUGUGUUAGAAAGAAUUCCUUUCAGCUCUCGCGUAUGGUUUGAACUUGCAGUCAUGGGGAAUGUUGUAGAAGCGUGCAUCCUCAUUGGUACAUGCAUCCUCAUUGGUACAUUCAAAUGCCACCAUAAAUACGUAUCUAUACAUUAUAUAAAGCUAGUAUAGUAGCAGUUGUUGUAAACAUUUUUGCAUUUUUUGAAAUUCCAAUUUUACCCUUAGAAAAACUAAUUUACAUCCUAAUCACCUAAUCACAGCUUGCCAACAUAGCCGCUCAUAACUACCCUAAGUAUUGUAACUACCAAAUUAACUAUAAUCUCAUUGAAGCAAAUAUUAAUAAAUCAAAGUUCUUUAAUGAAAAAUGUUAAUGUAAAAAAACAUAAUUUGCGCAAAACUAAUUCAUGUAAUAAAUUAAUUAUUUCUAAAUUGGACACAUAUCUGUGUGUUCUUAACACUAAUAUUAUAAUAUCCUGGAGAGCUUCCUGAGAGAGCGUGAUGUAUUGAUGAUCAACAAAAAACACAAUGAUAAAAUAAGAUAUGUGAAAUAUCACUUUGGUGCACGAAGGUAACAACCAUGGAGUUAGAUGAUGGUCUACCAGACUAACACUGUCUUGAACCACUCAAAAAGCAAGAAAAAAAAAAACAGUCUUGAACUAUUUGUUAUGCCCCAUAUUUGUGGAGUUUUUAGGGUGAGGAAAGUGUGACUAAUUAAUAUCUGUGAUAACUAUAGAAUUUUGUUCGUCUCUGUUCUUUUGGUUCUUUUUUAUGAAAUGCUAAUCUCUACACUACAGGAAACGUUUAGCAUCUCUAUCACACAAAUAGGAAGCCAUGUGGAAAUCAUGCCAUGGAAAAAACAAAAUCAUAUGUUGCCUUAGGGACACUGGUUUAGCUGUAGACAAUAGGCCACGUCUCUCCCUAUAAAUUCACUUCUUGUGCAUUUUUCUUCAGCUUUCUUAUAUUGUCAACCAGUGUCCACUUGUUACUUGCUUCAAUAUAUUACAGAAGCAAGUUCCAGCAUACAGUUCUCACCUGUGAAAUUCCUUGAGUUUUUGAAUCUUAAUCCUUUUAUGAACAGUCCAGCAUUUAAAGAAAAUUAGCUUAAUUUGAUUUCAAGUUGGUGAACAUUUUGCAAGUUUGACUGAGCUUAAGCAAGAUAAUUGGUUUCUUGGUUGGAGUUUGUAUUGGAAAAGUUCAAUGUCUGACGCAGGUUGUUGAAUAUUGUUCUUCAGAUUACAAGGUCGAUGACUAUUUGGCAUUUUCAGUUCAUAAAAGGAUGCAUUGAGGUCUCCUUAAUGUGUAUUAUCCUAUUAUUGUUAUUAGAUGCAUUUAUUCAUUUACAAAGAUCAGAUACUGACUUGGUGUAUCUAUUAAGAGCAGUUAUUUUCCAAUUUGCAUCAGUUUCAUUAAGAUGCUUUUUGGUGCAAUACUAUUAAUGUUAUAGCUGCAUACAGUGUCAUGAAGUUUCUAAAUCUUGGUGAUCUCCUUACUGUAGAUUACUUAUUGCACAUGGUGACACUUUAAGUACUUACAUGCUUGCAAUCUUUUUUUAAACAUUUAAAAAAUUGCAGCUCAAAUUGUUGAACAGAAUAGCUACUGUCAAAGAUGAUGGAACUGUAGAGUUUGAAUUUCCUGGAGAUGUUGAACCUCAGGCUAUAGGAAUUGCCAGUGAACAACCAUCUGAAGCUGAUGACAUACCUCUUGAUGAUACAGAACUUCGCUAUAUUCCACCACUACAGAUAGUGGUGCUUAUAGUUGGAACACGUGGUGAUGUGCAACCAUUUAUUGCAAUUGGAAAGAAAUUGCAGGUACAUUUGCUCUGCCUUGCUAACUGAUAUCUUGAUUAUCAUCAUUUCUAGGUACAAGAGAACUUAUUAUGUAUAUGCUCAUGCAGUAUGCAGCUCCACUCCCUAAGAAACAUAGGUUUCUUAAUGUCAAAUUAUCUUUCCUUCCAACUAGGAUAUCUUUGGGUUUUCUGGUCAUUUGUACUCUUUCAGUUGGUUGCCUACUGGUCAGGUGUAUAUUAUCAUUCCAACCAUAUAUGAUACUGUCCAGCUGUGAGUUGAGGUUUGCAUGAUUUGCAUUGUGUGGAGUGCCACUGUUUUCUUUAUUCUGUUAUAAAGUUUAGAAGAUACUGGAUUUGGAUUUCUCUUCAUUUGCCUGCACCAUUGGAGGAUACAGGUGUCAUAAAUGCAACAGCUUAGACCCUAGUAUCUGGAUAUUGUAACUGCGACAUCAACCACUUUUUCUUCCCAUGGUUUUGGGCAACCACCGAUCCAUUUUGGGAAAAGGAUGUUGGUUGUCAAAUGUUUCUUUUGGUGUUCCAGUUCUAAUCUAUCAAUAAAAAUAGGCUUUUGGGAGCCUCCUUCUAUAGUGUUUACUUAUUGGAAUAUAAAUGGUUUACCAUGUUUUUGGGCCAUCUAAUUUGGCCUAGAUGAUUAGCACUUGAUAACUCUAGAAAAGCUAAAAAAGCUGAGUCCAUUGGAGCUGCAAUCUCCUUGAAACUAGAUCUUGGAUGAUUUAUUCUUCUCUCUUAAACAGGGAUUAGUAAGUCUAUCAAUCAUCAUUAAAGAUAAUAAUGUGAUUGAGUCCAUGAAAUUUUACUGAUAAAGAUUUUGUUGCAGGACUAUGGCCAUCGUGUAAGGCUGGCAACUCAUUCAAAUUUUAAAGAGUUUGUGUUGACUUCUGGGUUGGAAUUCUAUCCUCUUGGUGGCGAUCCAAAAGUCCUUGCUGGAUGUCCGUACUUCAUUUUUCCUGUUUAAUUUAAUACAAUUGUCAUGAAAUGAUUGUUUUUUUCUGUUCACGACGAACUUAUCUUGUAUUUGAUGUUAAAGUUUCUUUUAAACUGCCGAGGAUGUGCUUCUGUGUUUACUUGUUUGAUAUGUUUUGAUCAAUUAAUGCAGGCAAGACUUCUGAUUAUAUCCUAAUCAAAUGACACAUGAACAUCUUGUAAAGCUGUCAACUGGUUUAGGAUGAUGGGUUGGAACAUUGUUGCUAAGACGAUAUGGACAAUUAUAUUGGAUACAGGCAUCCAUUGAAUUUGUUUCCUGUUUUUGCCUGUCAAAUAUUGUGCAUACCUGAUUUCCCAAUUCUUUUUGUCUAUACAUUUUACUGUUGUCACACUGAAAUGCGUCCACACGAAAGGAAAGCAACUUUUGACUCUAAUAGACAUGUCUUUACAGUUAGAUAAGACAUGCUUUCUGAUAAUCAUGAUGUAUACAUAGCAAUCUUAUGGUUUAUCAGGCUUUAAAACAUCUGAAGUGUAAAGUUUAUAAUGUCCAUCUUCAUUUUGCAGUGCAUUAGUAUGCUUUAUCAGGUUAUUGUUCCUGGGACUAGAUUCUUCAAAUCAUCAUCUUUUUCUAUCUAAAAAUUCGUUUCUCCUUUAGUUAGCCAUAUCUUGAACAUUUGAAAAGUGGAUAAUGUGCAUUCCAAUAUAAAGCACUUUACUGCAGCAAUGGAUUUGAACUCCCAGAAGUUCAAAGUUCUGAAAUAUCAGUGCAUCUUUCUUCCCUGCUGCUAUGUGCUAACUACGACUUCACUCCAAAUAUUGUCCCUGCCAGGCUCUCGACUUAACCCUGCUUUCGUCUUCUUAUUAGCACUUCCCCAGUUCGAAGAUUUGUCUUUCUGUUGCAUCUGAUCUUGGUUUGUAGAUCAUCCUCUAUUUUGGCUAGCUUUUGGGAUGCUAAUAUAUUUUUUAAUGUACUCUAAGUUGUGGUGUUGGGGCUUUUAGCAGUUUGUAAGGCGGUCAAAUCUGAACUUGGUAAUAUAUUGAGACAUAAUUGAAUUACCACUAAGUUUUCAAAUUUGGCAUUUUCUCAUUGGUGAAUGCUUGUGCAGUAGCAAGGAUGUUAAAUAACGGUUCUGUUUUUUUUUUUUCCCCUUCUUUUGAUUGGAAUUUUUGCAGACAUGGUUAAGAACAAAGGUUUUCUGCCAUCAGGACCUUCAGAAAUACCUAUCCAACGGAAUCAAAUAAAGGAAAUAAUAAAUUCUUUACUCCCUGCUUGUAAAGAACCUGAUGUUGAUACGGGAAUUCCUUUCAAAGCUGAUGCAAUUAUUGCAAAUCCUCCAGCAUAUGGUUAGAUUCCAUAGUCUAUUAAAUCUACUGGUCAUUCUUGUCCACUUCAUUACACAAUUGCUUGUCCUGUGCCUUGUAGUAGAAGCUCCCCCCCCCCCCCCCCCAACAAACAAAAAAUGCAUGUCAAUAAUCAGCAGGUUUCUUUCAUUAUAUAAUUCAACUAAUUUAAUAAAGUAACCCAAAAAGUCCAGUUAACAUCUUUGACACAACCCAAAAAGUCCAAUAAUAACACCUAUGUGGUUAUAUGUAGUUGGGCACCUCAUAAAGUUCAAGUUUAGAUGAUUAGAGGAGAGUGUCACUAAAGAUGCAGGCAAACACAUUAAUAUCUGCAGCUAACCAAUUUAAGUUAUGUUUCAGGACAUACACAUGUUGCAGAGGCAUUAAAAGUUCCACUCCACAUAUUUUUUACAAUGCCAUGGACGUAAGUUUUAUAUGGUUAGCAGAGUUAUAACAAAUGUAGUUUUAGUUCAAAUUCAUUAUAUCGUUGAUUAACCUUCUUAUCCUUAUGUAUUUGCAACUGCUGAUUCUAGAUAUAUUGACCAAUUAGCAUCUUAUCUUUCCAACAGGCCAACUAGUGAAUUUCCCCAUCCUUUAUCCCGUGUUAAACAACCAGCAGGAUAUAGGGUAAUUGUUCAUUUGUAAUUUUUUGCGAUCUUGUCAUCAUUUAUCUGAAAUUUUGUGCUUCAGAAUUCCUUUCUCUUGUCUUUCCUCUGGGACUUUUCUCUCACUAGUUUUAUCCUCUCCUCUUCCCAAUUGUUGGUUGCUUCACCAGAAUUUUUGUUUCCUGGGUAACAAUUGUUCGUCUGAAUUCUGCAGCUUUCAUAUCAGAUUGUUGACUCCUUAAUCUGGCUAGGAAUAAGGGAUAUGAUAAAUGAUGCAAGAAAGAAAAAACUGAAGCUACGGCCAGUCACUUACCUGAGCGGCUCACAAGGCUCUGAGUCUGAUAUUCCGCAUGGUUACAUAUGGAGUCCCCACCUUGUUCCUAAGCCAAAAGGUAUUAAACAGAUACCCCCUAUUAUGAGAAAGUUAUGCUUCAUUUUCCAAGAAUCCAGGAGGUUUUAUAUCUGAACAUUUUACAAUUUUGAGUUUGUUGAAUGGGUAUGCAGUCUAUUGACAAUUAGAUAUUAAUUAUUCUAGAUCUCAUAGCUUGUGACUUGUUUUCUUUCUCUUGGCAUACAAUGCAGCCUGGACUGAUGUUUUAGAGUCUGACCCUUCUUUGUGUUUUUUAUUUUGUAGAUUGGGACAAAAGGUGGUGUUGUAGGUUUUUGCUUCCUUGAUCUAGCAUCAAAUUAUCAGCCUCCUGAACCACUUGUAAACUGGCUUAACGCUGGUCCAAAACCCAUUUACAUUGGAUUUGGUAGCCUUGUGAGUUUGGAAAAUUCCAACUUUACUGUUAUGUGUUCACCAUUCCUGUCAUGGUGGUUGACUUUCUUUUUGGUUUUGAUAUAGAGAAGAUAGUCCUGAUUGACUUUGGUUCCCUUGAAUUUCAGUUACCAAUCAGCUAAUCCCUCAUCAUCUUGGACAACAUCACUUGAAAUCACUGCUUUGACAAUAACUAUUCUUUUCCCUAUGAAUACUCCAAGCAGCUCUUGAAAUGCCUUUCUGAUUAUGAUUCUGCUAAGUACAGCUUUGAGCUUUCGAACUUUUUACGUCUUGUUCACAGGCUUCAAUCCCAUCAAGCUGGUAGAAUUUUUUCCCCUCUCUUGAUGGACCAACAUCAGUUGUACCAAAAAGGAGUUAACAGAACUAUUUUGUCAUUGGUUGGGUUUUAACAGAUCCUCUGUUAAAAAAUACGCUGGAAAAAUUCUUGGCUAUCCCUCAUUUAGUGAGAAAAUUCACCUAACAUGCUCCAUACUUUGGCACUUAUUCAUACAUCUCCAUUGCUAUUUGACAUUAUAAACUGCUAUUACAUGCCUUCAUGCACCUUGGCUAUCCAGAUUUGUGUCUCUUUUACCUUAAUCUGGCAUGUAUCUUUUGUCUCAGCCUGUUCAAGAGCCAGAGAAAAUGACCCAAAUAAUUGUUGAAGCAUUGGAGAAAACUGGGCAAAGAGGCAUCAUUAACAAAGGCUGGGGAGGCCUUGGUAACUGUAAGUUUUUGUUUCUUGUCCUUGAUUCUCUUGUUUAUGAUUGCAUUGGCAAAUUCAUACUUCUUGCUAUAGGGAUUCUCUGUUAUUGAUUUAGCUGAUUUCCUUCCAGUGGCUGAACCAAAGGACUUCAUAUAUUUGCUGGAUAAUGUCCCUCAUGAUUGGCUCUUCUUGCAAUGUGCUGCCGUGGUAAGCUUUUGUCAUCUUUGUUGCAAUGUGCUUGCUUGAACUGGUGUUAUUAUGUGUUUAUGGACAUGAAUGUUUUCUUGGAAUUCUCAGAGUAGCAUAUUGCUUUAAGCAUGGAGAAAUAGAAGUUCAUGAAAUCUCUUUCAAAUGUUAUUUUUUGAUGACUGUGUAUUGAUUGGUGGAUACGAGUAUGACCAUAAUUUUGCACUACAGUUGGUGGAAAGACAUGAGUUCAAGAUAGCUUGAAGCAUUAAAAAUCAUUGUUCUCUCUGAACUUCAUACAGAGAGAGGGAUGGCAUUAGUUUUAAUAAUUAGUUGACAUUUCACUAUCCUUGGGCAUACAGUGUGUGCAUACAGCCAGAAACUUGAAAAAGAACAAAAAAAAAAGGGUAAAAACACAGGGCGGUGAUAGAGUCAGCUUUAUUAUGUGGACCAACAUGGUCUGCAGCCAUUUGAGCAGCUAAUAAACCAGUUUUUUGAGCAUACAGUUAAUAGCAAACAUGACAGUUCUAGCAUUAAUUGAUUUAUGUUUUUGGUAUAACAAACUCUAGCACAGGUUUCCAAUAGUAAAUUCGAGCUGGCGUUGCCAAUUUGUGAAAUCUACACCUGUAGCUUCUUUAUGAGAGUUUUGGUCUUACUUUUAAGUCAUUUGUAAUUUCUGUUGUGCAUCUAAGAAUUCAGAUCAGAUGAAUAUUUUUGGUUCAAUGUCUAUUUGAUUAAAUGGUGCUCUUUGUUCUGAGCUGGACCUGAAAAAGUAUCCUACCUGCACUCAUAUAUGAGCAGGUGAGCUUAAUCCCCAUUGUUUUGCAUUUUGUUUCAGGUGCACCAUGGAGGUGCUGGAACAACAGCUGCUGGUCUUAAGGCUGCGGUAAGUAGAACAUGAAACAAUGUAACAUAUAGCGGAUUGUUUGAUUAUUGUUUCUGAAGCUGUACAUGACAAUCGGUCCAAACUGCAGUGUCCAACAACGGUUGUACCUUUCUUUGGUGACCAACCAUUUUGGGGUGAGAGAGUACAUGCUAGAGGUGUAGGUCCUCCUCCUAUACCAGUCGAUGAAUUCACACUUCCAAAAUUGGUUUAUGCAAUUAAUUUCAUGUUAGAUGCGGAGGUACUUGUGCGAAAUUUGCUUUUGUCUAAUAUCCCUUCUCUCCGUUUGAGGCCUUGUAAGGAAAAAUAUUUUUUGUGGUGCUAUUCAAAUGAUGAUGCACAGGUUAAAGAGCGUGCAGUUGAGCUUGCAAAGGCUAUGGAGGAUGAAGAUGGAGUAACAGGAGCAGUGAGAGCCUUCCUCAAACAUCUGCCGCGUAAAAAAAUGGAGCCCGAGCCAGUACCUGCAGCUUCAAGCUUUCUGUCUAUAAGAAAAUGCUUUGGCUGCUCUUAGGAUUUUAUUUGUGGUACCAUGCUUUUGGAUUUGUCUAUUCUUGAUUAGUCGUAGAUUUUUGAUAGUGUAAUUAUGUUUGCACCUCGUUUUUUCUUUUGGCCUUUCUCCAGUCCUAAUUUUUCUUACCUUGUCUAUAGCUUUUCAAAAUCGGUUAGUUUUUCCUCUCGCCAAUUCCAAUCCCCAGUCAAAGGGAAGAAAUGUAUUCAUGCACUCGGCGGUUACCGAUCAUCUUGAUUAAUCUUCAUUCAAUUAAGAAAUUAUUCUUAAUCAUUCAUUCCUGAAUCUGUUGCUGGAUGGAUGUAUCCGUUUAUAAACACACAGUCUCUCUCUCUCUCUCUUCCCCCCCACCCCCCAUCCUCGAUUAUUCUCGCACUUGGCCACGGGGUCCUGCUGGUAUGAUUUUUUUACUAUUUUCUUAAAGGAUCAUUUGAAUGCAUUUUUUUUGUAAUGCUUAUUAAUCUAUAUGUGCGAUAUGGUUAUUGAUUUCUUACCAGGACCAGCCGGGCGAUCUUUGGCGGGGGGGAUUAGGAAAAUUCUCCUACUGCCAAGGCAAUAUUAAAUUGGGCUUUGCUUAAACUAGUUCGUAUGCCGAAUCUUAGAAAACGUUAUGAUAUUUGCCUUCUGGGGUUGGCCGUCGCAGCGAGUCAUUAAUUCGGGAGAUGCUGUUGAGCUGCAUUCUUGAUUUCUUUCUCAUGGUUAAAGAAAGCAAAUCUACGGCCUUGUUUUCUGGUCGGGGACAUUUGCCGACCGAUAAUUAAUUGCAUUGUAAAUUUGCGGUUGGCGUGGAGAAUCGGCACUGCAGUUCUCAAGCAAAGUUUAUGACCAAAGUGGUUUUGUAAGUUGUAGGCUCUUUUGAUUCGUUGGUGAGUGCUAUGACACAGUUUGGGAAAAAACGAUGGGGAGGUUCAUUAUGCAGCAGCAGUAUUCACUACAAUCCGUGGUAAAUUGUCUUGUACGUGUGUCAUGUGGAAAACCCAG